AGCACGGUAGCGCGUGCCUGUCACUCCAGCUUCAGGAGGGCUAAAGAGUGGGUGGGAAGGGAUGUGUGCGUUAGAGCCCAUGUCAGAGUCAGCUCGCCGAAAGGCAUGUGGUGCCCGGCCCACCAGAGACGCCAGACGAAGCGCGGCGCAGAAGACCAGCUGUUGAUGAGAUCCUGGCCCGUCCAAGUUGGCCAAGUUGCGGUAGUUUGGGUGCAGGCACUGAGCCAGUGGUGCCAGGCUUGUGACCCGGUUUGAGGCCCGUCAGAGAUUGGGCGCUCGUUGGACCGUUGACCUGUGAGGAGGCCGGUCGUUGACGCACUUGUUGGGCCGUGAGGAGGGCAGGCCACCAGAGACUGGUGAAAGCAGUAAUGUUGGCGCGCGCUAGUCGGGCCUUAGCCGAGGAGAUUGCCGGCGGGCCGUUGUUGUGGUCGAGGUGCACAUGUGGACUCUCUGUGGGGGGUUGAUGGGCUGUCGAUUAGGGAGCAGGCUUCGGCCCCGGUAGGCCGGCAGACCCGCCGGCGGGCAAUUUAGGUUGGGGUCCGCCCCCAGCCUGGAGCCCGUAUACGCCGCGCGGGGCUUCCACGGAGUCGGGCGGGGCAAGUUGCUGCGCAUUCGAUGCGCGCUUGGUCGUUGUCGCCGCCGGGCUGUGCGCGCCACACGCGCAGCCCGCUUCGUGGAGCAUUGGCUUGCAUACUAUCCCCUCCUACCCACUCUUUUGUUUUUUUUUAUUUUUUUCCUUUUAAUGUGUCCGCAAAAUUUUUGCUUUUUAUUUUUUUUGUACUGAACGAUGCAAGCAAACAUCGUGCACGAAUCUUAAUUGUACACACGGUGCAAUAUGUAGGUGGGGAAAAAACGGAGUUUGGUGGUGGCUUGCGCGUGGACCGUGGGAGACUCAAGCCACUAUGGAUUUGGCUUUGAACUCAACUCGGGUGUCGUCAAAUGGAUAGGAGAGUGCAGCCCUGGACAGCAUGCUUACUGCAGGUCUCAGAGGAUCAAGGGCCACGCUCGCCAGUUUCCUUGCGAGGGAGUUAUUUACGCUGAUCCCUCUGUAUGUCAGUUUGGCGUCAAAGACGAGAGAAAAAACAUAAGGGCUGGACGGUAACUUUCUCGGAUUUGGCCCAUGUAAGAUUUAUGCGUGCUCCGCGGCCUGGAAAACUAAAAGGCCCAUAUACAUGUAGCCCGUUAGAUGCCAAUGGGCUCGGACUGAACGUUCAAAGGCCAGAAGCCCGUCCGAGAUAGUAGGUAAGCCUGCUUCGCGCGGUUGCGGGAAAGACUCGUCUGCUGUGCGCAGAGGCAGCAUUGUGCUACGCUGCCGACGUUCGUCUCGACUCUCGAUCUCUCGUCAUCCUUCAGGCGAUACCCGAUCAUGAUCGGCUGGUGAUUACUGAAUUAUUUUCUAAAUCCGAAUUGCAUGAGAAAGUAAAACUCGCACAACAUACUAUCGUCUAAAAGGAAAAAGUAAAAAUAGUACAACAAGGGGGCCUAGUGACACAUAAGAUGAACCAGACAGUGAACCAGCAGCCAGGUGCGAAGUGUAGGAGGACAACGCUUACAUGUAAACAGCGGCAUGCAGAAGAGGGCAGAGAAGAUAAGCAAUCACACGAAAAGAGGUCCGGUCAGUGCUCAACAAACGACGCUCCCCAUUUAGUCCCGUACUGCUAAUCACAGCCAGGACGAGCCAGCUUAAAAUGGCACGCAUCCCGAGCUGCAACCACCAGGCCCGGUGGCGCGAGCCUGUUACUCCAGCCUCGGAGGGCAAAAGAGUUUGAUGCAGCGACAAGACUCACGGCCCAGCUAUCGGUCCUGGGUUUCUGGGUUGUGAGCUCGAGCCUUAGCUCAAAGCCGUGGAGUUGUCUGACCAGGGGCCCAUUUAAAUUUGAGACGGCUUUGGCCCGGGGAGCUCGCCCAUAAAGCGAUGGGCUGGCCGAGAUUUCACUCGGCGGUCAUUGUCGACUAUCUCCCCGGGUUUCCAUACGGUGCUCACGGGAUAUUUAAAUCCUUGAUUUUAGGCCCCAUGAUGAUGAUUAUGUGUGGCUAAGGUUUAAUGGGGGCCUCCGUGUGGUUGCUAUGGGUUCGCUCAUAAACCCCUCUCAUCAACUCUUUUUUUUCCUUCUUUUAUGAUCCAUUCAUCCAUCCAGAUUUAGGGGGUGUUUGGCAGCACUCCACUCAAAAAAAAUCAUCCAUCCAGAUUUAGGGGGUGUUUGGCAGCACUCCACUCAAAAAAUUUUAUGAUCCAUUCAUCCAUCCAGAUUUAGGGGGUGUUUGGCAGCACUCCACUCAAAAAAAAUUUUAUGAUCCAUUCAUCCAUCCAGAUUUAGGGGGUGUUUGGCAGCACUCCACUCAAAAAAAAUCAUCCAUCCAGAUUUAGGGGGUGUUUGGCAGCACUCCACUCAAAAAAUUUUAUGAUCCAUUCAUCCAUCCAGAUUUAGGGGGUGUUUGGCAGCACUCCACUCAAAAAAAAUUUUAUGAUCCAUUCAUCCAUCCAGAUUUAGGGGGUGUUUGGCAGCACUCCACUCCAAAUUUUUGAGCUCCACUCCACCGACUCCAAAAAAAUACCAGAGCUGUCCACAUGUUUGGCAAAAUGCAUAGAUCCAGCUCCGGAAAUAGAAGAUCUUGAUGUGUAAAGUCCAUUAUACCCAUGUGAAUGGGUCCCACUUGUCUGUCCUUUAGUUCUCCCCUUCUUCUCCUGUGCUGGUUGGGAUCGAUUUUCUUCAUUCGAGCAGGCAGGCCGCGCAGGACCGGCGGGCGGCGCAGGGGCGGGCGGGCGGCGCGGGCCGCGGCGGGUGAGGGCGGGCGGCGCAGGGCGUGGGGCGCGGCGGGUAGGGGCGGGCGGCACGCGGCGGCGCGCGGCGGGCAGGGGCGGGCGGCGCGCGACGGGUGAGGAGCGGUGGCGGGCGGCGGCGCCGGGCGCGACGAGCGGGAGCGGCACGGCAGGCAUAGCCGGCCGGCGCGACGGGAGCCUUUUUUUUAUUUCGCGAACCGUUACGUUGUGUAACGAGUGGCAGUGGUGGGUAAAUACCCACCAACUCCACGAGGAGGUCUGUAAAGUGGAUUUUUGGAGCACCUCUUGAGGUACUCCACAAAAAACGUGGAUCUACCCCCUGCUCCACCUUUUUUCCUGGAGCCGGAGUUGCUGGAGCUAGACAUGUUUGGCUGCGAAAUUUUUGGAGUUGGUGGAGUGGAGCAAUUUUUCGUGAAGUGGAGUGCUCCCAAAUACCCCCUUAGUCGUGACUAAAAUUCAUGUCACAUCGAAUAUUCGGAGGCUAACUAGGAGGACUAAACAUGAGCUAAUUAUAAAACUAAUUAUAUAGAUGGAGACUAAUUCACGAGACGAAUCUAUUAAGCCUAAUUAAUCCAUCAUUAACACAUGUUUACUGUAGCAUCACAUUAUCAAAUCAUGAACUAAUUAGGCUUAAUAGAUUCAUCUCACAAAUUAGUCUCCAUCUGUGCAAUUAGUUUUGUAAUUAGUAUCUAAAUAUUCGAUGUGACAGGAAUUUUAGGAGGUGCUAAAUAAACAACCACUCCCUUAGGAUGAUCUCGCCACAGGUAUAUAACAAGUAAUUAGCCGUAUGUGCAUGCGUGUGCAACCUGCAGCUGCCGGGAGGUGAGUCCACGAUCAUGCGGCUCGGGAGAGAAGGAAGAACUUCAGCGCAAAAAAGAAAAGUUUGGUAAGGGUAUUUUGCGCGUGGAGAAACUCUAGAACUAGGCUUCGGCUAAUGUGUUACAUUAGCAACGACCGCUAAGGGAGAGGGAAGAUGUCAUAUUUUCUCGCUGUCAGGAGCUCCACAACACACUGAACCCUAGCUCCCCAAGCUCUGCCCUUUGGAGAUGGAGUCAUAGGGCGAGUUCCUUUUGACAGGGAGUGUGUGUUUAUGUUGGUCCUUCUGCAGUUUACUUAUCAGUUUGGCAUCAAACUAUUAAAGACUAUGUGGGUAAGGGAAACCCAGUAAACUUUCUUAGGCUUGUCUCGUUGCGCGUUCUUCGGCCCGUAAAACCCAUAAAAAAAACCUGUGUAGAUAGCUCAUUACGUGCAAUAGGUUCGAAUUGGGAGGAAUUGUACGUGGGAUCUGGGCCAUGCGCGCUCGUGCUCAUCAGUCAUCAGCAAGUCGUCGUCGUCGUCGCCACCGCCACUGCAUCGCAAGACUUCUCAGGCGUGGUUUUGUUGCAACCUUGCCGGAAAAACCUGGUUGCCUUUCUCAUGGGUCAUGGUAGUGGUGGGUACGUGUUCGUUCCUUUGUUACCCCCAACUGCAUGCAUGAACAAGUAGAAAACCACUAUUUUCGCAAAGAGGCCACCGUCUGAUAUACUACUGAACAUCGCCAUGAAAGUGGCGACCGGUCACGCUUUACAGCACGCACAAAGACCUGGCGCAAACAAGAAAAGCGAGCACAUGCAACUAAAUCCAGCUCCACUCACCCUGCAAGCCAAGUGCUCCUUUUAGUCCCAUACUGCUAAUCACUCUCAGAACAACUCGGCUUAAAGGGACACGCCUCGAGUCUACAAACGCCGGGUGCGGUCGCGCGGGCCUGUUACUCCAGUCAGCCGGAGGGCAAAAGAGUUGGUGUUGCGACAUGGUUUUGGCCCAACGGGCCGUCACCUGGGUUGUGAGUUGAGCUCUGGAUUCGGGAACGCAGCUCGUCUCGUAGACGAUGGCAGGCCGAACUCUCAAGCACCUUGUCAUUCGGGCCCGUCCCAAGCCAAGCACUUGUCGUUCGGCCGUUACAGGUUGGGUCGGAGGGAAACCUCCCCUAUCUGAGCCCAGUUUGGCGUCCCUUCCCGGUUUCCAUUCGCGCGGUCACGGGAGGCCGUAGUCCUUCCCUGAUCUUCCCAUUACGGUAAUCGGGGCUCGUAUGGUUGCCAGAGCUCGCUCACUAACCACUCUCACCAACCCUUUUUUCUCUUCUAACUUUCACUUUAAUGAAUAGCUCCAGCAAAUCACCCAUGCAAAACGAGAUUAUCUAACGGGAAAGAUGCAGUGGGAAGGAUAAAUACAAAAUACUCGUGCCUCGAUCUCAGAUGGCGAACUGUGAAAGUGCCUCGCCGGCACGGCCCAGGGUGGAGUGCCGAGCCCGCCGGUACUCGCCGUAGCUGAACGCCCUGAACCGGCGCGGGCGGCGCGCGUCCACGAGCGCCUCCGGCGCGCGCACCUCCCCGGGGCGCCAGCAGGAACAUGCCCACCGUGAAGCGCGGCGCCGCCGCCACGCACCGCACCCCGUGCCUCGCGUUGUGGAGCUCCCCGUUGCUCCACGCCUGCAGCACACGACGCGACCAAGCUCAGCACGGGACGGCCACCGGUGAGGUAUGCAGCCGGAGAGCGGAGAGAGGCUGACCGUGGCGAUGUCACCGAUGUUGACGAGGAGGGAGCCGGGGAGGGGCAGGUCGACGGGCUCGAACUCGGCGGUGUCCGGGUCGGCCACCUCGAGGCCGCCGAUGCGGUCGUCUUCCAGGAGCACGGUGAGGAAGCUGGAGUCCGUGUGCACCUGCACGCCGGGCGACCCCACGGUCUCCGCCGUGUAGUUGUACCUGUUCAUCCGGAGCUGGCACGGCCAGUCACAGAACGCCGACAACGACCCUCCUCCUCCCCGCCCACGCCGAGGCCCGCGGUCAUCUUCGCCGCGACGUCCAGGGCUAGCUCGUGCGUCUUCUCGGCGUACGCUCCGAUGGUCGCCCUGCGCGCGCACCAAUAUUAAUGGCGGCGAGGAACGCGGCGCGCUUAGUGAAAUUAAUCAAUUCCGUCACCUGAUGUGCGGCGGCGCGCCGAUGAGGUCGCAGAAGGCCUCGACGUCGGCGGGGGCGGAGGCGUCGUGCACGGCGAGGGACUCGAACAGCGGGUUCGUGGCGCUCGGGUGCACGUACCCGCUGUCCGGCGGCGCGACGUCGGCGCUGCGGCGUUUGGCGUCCACGGGGAGCUCGUGCAGCGCCCGCGCGGCGGCCUUCAUGCUGGCCUGGAGCUCGAGCGGCACGCAGCCCAGAAGCCGGGCCGCGGCCAGCAGCCGCGCGGACUCGUCCGGCCGCGCGCCGACGAGGGGCAGGUCGAACACCGGGAUCUCUAACAUCUUCGCCGAAUGUGACUUGUGAGCGAGUUCAGUUGGACCUUGCUAGCUUGUAGUUAGUUGAUACGGGUGGUUCCAUGGGAUCGUGACGAAACCGAGUAUUUUAGGAGAAAGAUGCCUGCAAAUUUUAUUGUUCGAUUCUCAUGUGUCGCAUAAUUUUGUCCAUAAUUGCACGAUUUAGAAACAAUAUGUCACACCCUCAUGUAAUACGCACGAUAAGCACCAUGAGCAAGAAUUUGGGAAAACAGAUGCGAGAGCAGUACUUCGUUAGAAUAUGCGAUUCUGACCUCACGCACUCAUGUUGUGUACUUGAGUGCACGGUAAGGGAAAAGGGACACGGCGAAGACAGGAGAACUCUCGGAAAACAAGGACAUUCAGCAAGCUAAGCUAUAGAGGGGCAGUACAAGGUUGUAUAUCACUUGUCAGUUAACAACUUAACAUGUCUAUCCAAUCUGUGCUGUGUAAAUUGCACAGCGAGGUGUACUGAUUGAUACUCAGGAGUGAGGUGUCAUCUUACUUCCUGCGGGCUCGCGGCAGGGCCUGCAGUGCUCCUGGUCAGUGUGAAGUUCAGCUUCCAAGUGUAGUUGGACCGAGAAUCUAAAUUUUAUCCUCGGCACACCUCACAACUAUUCUUUCUUGGUUUUCUUACUGCACCUUGUGAUACUAUACAAGCAAGUGGCUGCUAGCAGCACCACGGCUAUGAUAAAAGCUGCACACAAUAAAGAAAUUAUACAAAGGUACAUCGCAAAAGAUCCAUAAGACUACAAUGUAGAUUCAUAUGGUUGGAAUAAUUGGCAUGGAUACGAGUAGCAUACCAGCUAUGGUGCCAAAGAACAGCAGAGCGAGCCGGUGUCGUGUUAGCCAUGGAAGCUCUGUUUCGAGAGUACAGUGCCGUUGAAAAGCAUGUUCUUGUUUCUUGAUUGCGUGCGCACCUGAUGGCUGCAGUUCAGAUAUAGGGAACUCCACACUGUGAACAGAAUGGCCCUCAACAUCUCUUAGUUCAAGUUUUAUCCGCGGAGGUACAGCAUUCCAAUCAAUUUCAAUUGCUCCAAAAUUUGGUUGACCUGAAAAAUGCAACACCAAAUGAUUUAACAAUGUAACAAAAUCUCAACACAGCAGGAAAUAACCUAAUCUUUUUCUGGAACGUGUACAAGAGCUGCGCAUCAUUAUAUUAAGAGGGAAAUAAGGUAGCCUAGGUACUGAAAAAUAUUGGCAUUCCCUUCAGAUGCUUUAUGAUGACAUUCUACAAAUGAACUGUAUCUUUUCGAGGCUUUAAAUAAAUUUAAACCUCCGUAUCUAUUCUUUUCUUUUUUAUAGAGAAAGAAAUUGAGUAAAAUAAAACAUUAUAGCUAUCCUACAUUGUGGAUUCAUACUUCUACAGUUGAGACCAAGAAAGAGUCAUACCUGUAGUGCAUGAUUUAUACCGGCACUUAGGGCUAAAGACUCGCAUGGUAGUUGGUGUAAGUACUGCCAGAAGUCUCAUAAUAGGUUGAAAGACUGCUGGCACAGAAUUCUCAACGGACUGGGUAAGACCACUUGAAGUAACAUCAUACAAUGGAUAUUGAGCUCCACAGUCGAAUCUAGCAAUUUCUCCAAAAUGAACAUCACCACUAAUAAAUAUUACUCCGUUUCUCUGCAAAUAGUCAUGCAAUCAGCAUAUGUUUCAUAAGAGUAAUGAACAUGUAAAAAAUCAUUUUGCUGAUAUCAUGGUAUCUUGUAAAGGACUCAGAACCGAAAGGUUUAAUUGAAGAAAGAUAUGCCAGCACCUACUGCAUUUUCCUUUGCCGCAGCUAAAGGAGGAUUGUUACUUUUGGAAAGAUUGAAACCAUGAAUAAUAAUAUAAUAGCUUGCCCGCAAGAAAGUAAUAGUGACCAACCUUACUGCUGUCAAUCAAUCUGAACAGCCUCUCUCUCUCCCUUGGGAAGCGUGCCCAGGACUCCACAUAGAACAAAGGUCCAGUUGUGGCAGAAAGAUUAGAUACUACCUGUAUUGACACAUGGGGAUAAAGCAAUUACUCUAUAGUUAUACCGAUGAAAAUUUCCACUGCAUAGCAUUCCAAAAAAAUGCAAUCCGAUAUGUAACUUUUUUCUUGACCACAAGUGGAGAACCCUGUCAUUUUUAAUUUAUGGUAGAAGAGAACCAAACCCAGCCUGGAGGUACCCAGAAACUGCAUAUUAUAGUGGAAGCAUUAAGACAUAUAAAAAGCGAGAGCAAUGGAACAGUAGGAUACUCUCUGUCCAUCUAAAGAGCUGCCACCAGGUGAAAUGUCAUAUUAUUGAAAUUCUGUCACAUAAAACAAUCACAUAUACCAUCUGUUUUAUUUGGGGAGAAAAAACAGUAGCCAACCAAGCAAUAACUGAAUUUAUUAUACUAUCACUACCACAAAAACUUUCAGGACUUGUGAAAGUUUUUCAUAACUUCUGGGCAACCCAUUAGUUGGCAACUGAGCUGUUCAUCCAGAAAGCUGGGAUCCAUGGGAGUGAGAAGUUUAAUAGCUUUGGAUGUGAAAACUCGUGGUCUAUGAUUUCUAUCUGAACAUUUUUUAUCCUUGCUAGAUUUAGUUUUACAAGUCCUAAAAAAAUAUUUACUUUUAAUAUGUUUACCUGGAUAGAAGAUCCGAUGAUGGUGAUCUCUGAUUGAGGACCAUGAAGCUCCCUCUCCAGCCACUGCCAUUGAGGAUCUCCUAGAAUAGUUCCAUCACUUAAAAGUGGGUCUCUGUGAUAUCUGGUAUCCAACAAGAUUACCUGCAAUACUGUGUGGUUAUCUUUUAAUUCAAAAUUGACGAUGAAACUAAUUGGCAACAGAAGGGGAAAGCACUAGUCAUAUGUUUUAUUUAGCCCUGAUGCACGACCAUUUUAGACCUUAUACUAGCUUUACCGCCAAUAGCACUUUAUGAUACUUAAAAUGACUGCUGGGCUGAUGCUUUAUAUUGAUCGGGACAUGAAAAGGUGCAAAGUAUGUGUAGAUAACUGUGUACUAGACUUAAUUCAGGUAAAUGACAAUUUAAAUUGUAUAAAUGCUAAAUAUCCACAAAAGCCAGAUAUGAAGUCCUCAGAGUUUACACAUAAAAGAGAAGGGCAUGUUCUAUAUCACUUUAAAAUUUGAACAACAGACUCAAAAUGCAUUUACCAGAUGCAAAAGGGGAUAACACAGUAUAGCAGUGCAUCACACUGUUCAUCAAGGAAUUUUUUUAGUCUAAAAAAAGAAUUCUGUCUUUUUGCAUCCUGCAAAUGCAAUUGAGUUUCAUCUUGAAUUUUGCAUUUCUAUUCAUUAUCAAACAUACACUUCCCUUAUAUUUGAUAUUAUCUUGAGAGUCUUAGAAAACUUCUACAUCUAGUUUUCGCAGAAUUUGCAACAUUUAGCUGGUUUCACAAGAUACAUCGCCAACUUAAUAUAUAGCAUAAAAAUUGUGAUAAGGAUCAACCCUCAUCAGAUAAAUAUAGGAUGGAUUGCCUGAUCUUCAUAGUGGAGGGGAACAUCAGAAGAAGUAAUUCUUUGUCCAUCAUAUGCGAACUGGGACAAUUGAUAACUAUCUUGCAAUCAAAUUCGUGGUAGAAAGAAUUGCCAGAAAAGUACAAUGCCCUAUAUUUCAAGAAACUUCUGCAUCUAGUUUUCACAUAAAUCUGAAAAUGCAGCAAAGUAAUGACUGGAAAACAUGUCCAAAACCUGGAUUCACAUUCACAGGGUAGCAAGUUCUUAACUUCUUAUAAACUCGGACAUCAGUAACUACAAAGUACCAAUGACUGAGAUAAGUUUGCACUCAAGGAACAAACAAUGAAGCUGAAACAGAGUUACAGAUAACCAGAUAUUCCAUUUUGGGAAUAAUUUUAAUAUUAUCAUGUUCAUAUGAAAAAGAGGAGAAUAUAUCAAAGAUUGAAGGAACCACUGCAUCACUGAUACAAUUAUUUGUGAUAUAAUCCUAUUUGAACACGAAAUAGAAAAACCAUGCAAAAAUUGAACAUGACAUAAGACUACAAGCAUCGACUUUACCUUCACUCUUUUUCCUUCAGGGCCAAACAUGUAUGAGGUAUAAACACCAGCUUGUUUCCUCCUGAACAAACAAGUAUUAAAUUAUCAGGUGGGGACAUUUCUCCCCUUGCUGACCCUAAAAAAGGGAAAAUAAUAGAGUAUUUUAAGGCAUAUGUUGGUGUAUUGGCUGUAUGUACGCAGAUCCUAAAACUUAUACAGAAAUGUAUGGUCCAAGGAUAGAAGAAGAUUUGACAUACUGUGACAAUAAAUCAACAAGGAAAUAACAUUGAGAGCAACAACAACAAUAACAUUCCAGACUACCUUAAUUUCUAACAAAGAACGCAACUACAGACAAAUGAAAAAUGGAAACAGUUUAACAGAUGACCAGAAAGAAUAUAUAUGUGCUACAACUACAAAGGACGGAGGCAAAUCCAAAUCUAGUAAAUGCGGAUCAGGCCGUUAUAAGUUGAUAGGAUCCAUUUUGAGUUGAAAUACAGCGAGAAAAGUAUCUCAAUUGACUCAAAGAUUGUAUAAUGGUUAAAUCAGACUUUGUGGUCCUAGUCAUAAGAUAAUUGCUUUAAGUAUGAAUUACCCAAGUAAUGUGGUGAUGAUGAGAUUCAAUAUUUUCUGUGAAGGAUGCUUUUUGUAAUGAAGAAAUAGAAGUAGUGCUAGUGGACAUACAAGUAUGUAAAGCAGGUUACAAUUCCAUGCUUUAUUGAAAAACUACCAGUGCUCAGUCUGAAUGUAAAUUGGUUAGCGAACAAUAACUGCAUAACAAGAUAAACAUGAAGAAAUUCAAGAUCAACUCCAGUAUUUCUAAGUGCAUACCGCUUACUGUCUUCAGGUUCAUCCAAGAAAUCUAACAUAAGCCUUUGAGUAAACACUUUCCCACUAAAUUCCUUUCCUGCAUCAUUCAAUCCAUAAUCAUGGUCAUCCCAUGUUCCAAUAACCUGCAAUUAAUGAAUUCCAAUAGUGACACCAGUUUCUCAUAUCUUCUAGAAGCAGGAAGAAGCAGUGUCAAAGAUUCUUCAUAAGUUCAGAAGAUUUUUAGACUGUCCUAAAUAUUAUGGCAACUACAAUUUGGUGCCACCCUAGCCCAUAGUUGGACAUUCGAUUAUACUCCAUCCGUUCCUAAAUAUAUGACGUUUAGGACAAGGCGACAAGCUAUUAGUUAAAAAAUGGACUAGCUAGCUUGUCCUAAACGUCAUAUAUUUGAGAAUGGAUGUAGUAUGAUUCUAUCUGAAAUGCAUUAUUCACUGCUGUAAGAUAAUCAGCCCACGAGUGCAGUCAAUGGAAUUUAAACAGUAACAUUUGAUUGUUUGUCACUGUGAUGCCGACUCAAAAGAGCAGCCCCACGACUGGACUAGCACCAACAAUCAAUGCGGCGAGCAGACACUAGAAACGACCCGGAAGAGAAGCUGACCUGAGCCUUCUCCCUGAGCCUGGCGUACCCGGGCUUCGCCCUGCCGAGCUGGUACCGCCUCCGCAGCUCCUCCUCGGUGGAGGGGUAGAACCGCGGCACGUUCUUCCAGGGCCCCACGGUGCGCUCCUUCCCGAACACCCGGAACGGGCGCUUGUUGUCGCCGUAGACGUUGUCCCCGAGCCAGACGAACACCUGCGGGUCGAACCCCGCGACGGCGUCCCAAAUGGGCUGCAGGAAAAUCGCAAACGAAACAAUUCCGUCACAAUCUCAUGAUCUCAUCAUUCAUCAAAGUGAGCGAGCAAGCACGGCCAGCCGGGGUGAGCAUUCCGUCGCGCACCUGGGGCGCGCUCUGGUUGGCGCAGGAGCCGAAGGCAAUCCUGGACACCACGGCGUCGGCGGCGCGGGCGCAAGGGGCCAGGACGAGGUGGAGCAGGAGCAGGAGCGGGAAGGUGGCGGCCAUUGGGGGAUGCGCCGGGAUGGGAGAGUGCGCUCUGGCUCUGCCUCCGCUCGGUGGGCGAGGCGACGGGCGAGGAGAAAUUGCGGGAGGUGGGCAGGAGGGAGACGGGGAUAUUCCAAUUUCCAAGGCGUCGGAUCCCGGGGAAGGCAGAGGCUGGAGGUGGACGUGUGGUGGUGGGGGCGACCGGGCGAGGGCGAUGCCGGUGGCGGACGCAGGGAGGGAGGAAGAAAGCCGGAGGCCGUUUGCCCCCUUUUUUUCACUUGUUUAAUUAAUGCAGUGGAAUUCUGUGGAAAUCUAUCUACGUGCUGUGUUCCUUCUGACCAUCCACUCCUCUGUUAACCACGCUGCGUGAAGUGUGAAGCUUCUAGAGAAGAACAUAACGUGUAGGAACUUUGUAAGUCAGGUCCUUGAGUUUUGUUUGCAGAAAAGUUAAAUUCUGGCUGAAAUACUCUGAAAAUCCUAUGUAAACUUGGAGGAUCCCCGAGUUAGCAAGUCUGAGCCUGCAUAUCAAGUCAAAGUCAUUGAUCUUACUGGGGAGAAAACAACAGCAUAUUUGGCCAUGAGCAGUUAGAACAAGGAAAAUAUGAUCAUGGCGAUCAUCUCUAGCUGGGAAAGAUGUCAACAAAGCCGCAACAUUUCUGGCUUUGCACUUUUGCAGGGAUGGGGGCUAGCCUAAAAGGCGUGAUCCGGGGUGAAAAAAGCUGCGAACUUGCCGUGCCUAACUUCUUUUUUGCCUUUUGCUUGGGAUCAAGCAACUUCGCUGCAAACAGCAGAAGGCAUCACGUUGUCGCUAAAGCUCAAGGCUUCCAUUCAGAGCUGGAAUAUUUCUAGAACUGUGGCUUACUGGCUUGUGAGAAUCACCGAUAGUCUAAACUAGCUUGUAAGCAUUUUUCGCCCAUUUGCAUUGAGCAUCUGAAGCAAUGGAACCAAGUGAUCACAAAUCUAAUCAAAACCUUCUCCAGCCUCCAGCUAUGCAGCAACGCUAGAAGAACCUGUUCUAUGCAGCAACGCCAGAAGAACCUGUUCUCCAACAAUUGUUUAUGGGCUCAUGGCCUAAAUAGCCCACUCUGCCAUUGCUUAAAGGGCCAGCACUCCAAUAGCUUCAGUACAAAGCAAGUGAUCACACCUAGGGACUCACUGUACUCCAUACUCUUAUCAGCACUGCAAAACCAAUUCGAGGCAUCUGAUUCCAGCAAAUGGUAAGCAAGGAAAUGAUGUGUUCUAACAAAGCAGGCUUCAGCAACCCACCAAAAGUACACAUACAUUCAGAUUACGUCAGGGUGCCAAACUGCAAACUAGAUACAGCUAAAAUUGGUACAUGCCGUCAGGAACUCAACGCAUGGUCAACGAAGUACCUACAUCUAGAUUUCAACAACAAACUACAAGCCAGCGUGUUCAUCAGUUUAUGUUUCCCCAGAUAGCUUGCCCCGAGGUCCCCUUGUUGCUUGGCCUUGCAGUCAGUUCAUAUAGGAUCCGAGCAAAGGUGUCCGAGUAUUUCCCUUCUGUCGUCAGGAUCUCAGCAAAAGUGUUCUCAUGCACAAGGAGGUGCAUCCUGUUUUGAGGCUCGGAGACGAGGCUCUCCAGUAUCAUUGACGUCUUCCUGCAGACCUCAGGCACAGGAUGCGGCGUCUUCACAAUCUUUAGAAGUCUGUCGACAGCCCUGGUUCAAUUCACAUUGAAAUGACAAAAAAAUUCUGAUUGUUAAUGCCACUUCCUGUAUUAGUUUGCUCUCUCUAAUUGUGUGAAGCAGAUGUUUACCAUCGCUCACUGGCAAGCUUUAGCCUGCAAUCCAUAUUCACUUCAGCUACAUUGUAGAGUGCGCUAACAGCAGCAGCCUGUGCAUCAUAUGCUGGCAUACUCAAGAGGUCAACUAGCCGUUUGUAUAUCUGUAUCAAGCAGCACGAUGUAAGUAUGACAACUAAACAGCCGAGAAACAGAUAGCUUUAUUCAAAUGCAGCAUAGACAAUAUAACACCAAACUAUUACCAAAUGAAACAGUGAGCUAAACAGCAGUAUUUACCUGUGGAAUGACAGGGAGAAGAAAUGACUCAUUAUCUGGAUUUAUUAUCAGACGCCCAAUCAGUUCAGCAGCGGCACAGUGCCACGGCUUAACUGAAGAUGAAAGCAUACCCAUUAUGGCAUGAACUGCACCUUUUUCACUGUCUUGGCAAAAAAGCAGCAAAUGAGUUAACUUCAAUAUAGAAAAUAAAAGGAGAGAGGAUAAUACAGCUUCAGAGUUAUGUCUCACGUCAUUUUAAUGAAUGAUGGCUUCGAUGAGCUGAAGAUUCUCAAGUCCAACACAGGUGCUAAAUUGACAAGGGUUUCCAGCAUGUUUGUUACGAGUUCAUCAUCUUCUGCUCAAUGACAACAAAUCAGCAGAGCAUUAGUUCACAUUAAGUCUGUUGGAAAAAGAGCUGGAUUUAAAUUGCCAUGACAUGAAACAGUCCCAGGAGCUCAUUAAAGUUACAACAGACAUUCAAUACACAUAAACAAAAAAGCUCUCACUUCCUUAUUUUGCAGUGUAAGACCAAAUAUAUAAAUAGUCAGUUUUUGGGUUGAGUUUGUGGAGAGCUAAUGAUAGCUUGGUUGGUAGAGCCUCUAGUUGAGAAGCAGUUCACUAGGCUUGAACCCAGGUGUUCGCAGGCCAUGUGAGUACCUCCCUAAAGCAUUCGCUACUCACCCUCCAUCCCCACCCACAAAACACACACGUAAGACGAAGUCAAGCGGAUGUCUCCACCCGUGGGUUUUCAUAUGCAGGUAAUGACAAAACGUAAAACACAACAAACUUGAAUAGCCAAACACUAAUAUUGACAUAGACACAUUUAAUCUAAUAAAAGAAUACUAGAUUGAUGGACUGCAAAAAAAAGAGUAGAAGAUAAAUGCAUGUAACUGAAGACAAGACACAGGGCAAUAUUUCAAGCUUUACCUCUAUUCUGGUCUUCUAAGCACUGAAAUACAGUCUCCAAGCAAUGCCUAUGUUGAACCAUGAUAGUCUCAUUUUCUGGCAUAAAAGAGAAAUUACGGAUUAUAUUGGAGACUGCUAUAGCGCACUGCUGCCUUUCUGCCCUCCCUUCAUCAUCAUUGUUAAACAAGCCAUCCUCAUCAAACCAAAAGCUUGCAGAGCGCUUCUUCGUGACACUGGACUCCUCGGUCUUUGAUUGAUCAUUAGAGGUACUGUAAUUAGUACAAUUAAAAGAACAUAAGAAUAGGCAGCAACAGCCAUGGAUACUGAGAUACGCUAUCAGGAUCUUGGUAAGAUUAGUAACAACAUACGUGCCAGUGUCAGAGUAGACUUUUUCCAUGUUCUCUUGACCAAAGCCAGAGAGCGUUGUGUUGGCACCCAAAGUUCUUACUCUGGGUGGUUUGAGAUGGUCCUUAGGCAUUGCAAUAUCUCUCCAUUCAUCAAUCUGUACGAGAUAUCAAAGCAUAAGACACAAUGCAAAAAACAAAACGAGUAGCUUCUUUUGGAAGAAAUUGACAGACACAUCAGUACAUUGCUUUGCAGAUUUUAGAAGUUAAUUUGGUGUAAGAACCAUAUAAAUUAGAUGAGAUGAGUCUAACCUACUCCCUCUCAUUUUCCACAUGGAUGACGUCGCUGCCACAUGGCAAAAGUUAAUGAUGCCACUGCCACAUCACCAAAAACCACCCACAAAUCCUCCUAGGACAUGGUUUGCAUCUGUUUUUAUCUGAUUCUGGAAAUAAAAAAGGGUUCACCCUUAUGGGGUAUGGGAAAGAGAAUUCUGGGCAGAUUUACCCUUGCUUCUUUGGCAACAUGUGGAUAAAAUAUAAAAGGAGAGAAGGAUUGGGGAACCAAAAUUAGACGACUUUUUCCCUUUGUUUUAUGGCUACAAACCUAUAUGGACAAUGAUGCCAGAUCCCACAAACACCAUUACCCUUUCCUUCAGUGUUUAUAUUAAAGGGCAAUGCUAGCUUGACUAAAUCUAGUUCAAAUGCAUUUUUAUGCAAAUACAAUUAGCACUGAUUAGCAGACAGAAUCAUAAUUGCUAUACAAUUUCAAAUAAAAUGUAAAUUGCAUGAUUUAGUAAGAGAUGAAUCAAACUAGAAAGAUGAAAAGGGAAUUCAGGACAUACAACUUGAAGAAGAGCAUCUAAGAGCCCAGGAACUUUAGCAAGAGGUGUUGUAUCACGUCGGAAGUCAUCCUUCUCCUUAAAUGAGAGCACUGUAAGGGCAUUCAGUGCCCACAGUAUCUCUGAUUUCAACCCACUUUGCAAUGCAAGGACAAUUCUUUUGUUAUUCUGAUCUGAGAAAAGCCAAAAGAGAAAAAUAAGUGUCCUGCCAAAUGGUCGAUGCUGGUAACCGUUAUUAGAAAAUGAUUACUUGUGCAGUUCAAGCUCAUGACAAAGAACGUGAGGCAUCACCUCUAACGAACAGGACAAAACAAGAGUAAAAUGAUAGAGAGCAGGAACACAAAAUAAGGUAAGCAUAACUGUGCCAUGCCAUUGUUUGUCAGCUGUAUAAAGUAACUGUUUCCAAGCUUGGGAAAUGAAAAGACAUGUACACGCUUUAUAAACCUAUAUGUAGUUAUAUGCACUCUCAAGGAAGGACAUGUGCACAUACGUGAACAUUUCUAAGCCCAAAUUCUUAUCAUCACAUAGAAAGGUUUGCAGUCAAUUCUACUAGGUAUUCAUGUGACAGGAAGAAUUACAACUAAGUUGACCAGCAACAACAAUCCAAACUGGAAGUGAGGCGUAUUACAGUUUACCCUAAACAUUUUCAAGAAUAAAAAAGAAGAGGAGGCAAGCAUCAGGUUCUUGAUACUUCUUUGACCUUCAAAGAACUGAAAAACAAAGUCUCUGUCUAAAUUGGAUACUCAGGUUAGCCUCAAAGUUGUCCAGAACUCUAUAGCCUCAUCCAAGCCAGAAUUAUGUGUCUAAGCAAGACGUGCAGCAGAGGUCUGAAAGAAACCGUGCUAGUUAGUGUUCUAUGGCAUCACACAGUUUUCAUAAAGAGUCUGUUUGUGAUGUCAAACCUUUUCCAUUGUAUGUAAACUCUGCUACUUAACACGAUGGCUUCAAGAAUGUUAAGCUAAAUCAUCUGCACUGCAAAUGUUAUAUAACCAUGAUGACUAUUUUUCUCCCAACAUUUAUUUGACAAUCAACACUACAAAUAUGCAUACCCGUAAUACUCUGCAGCAACAUUUUUGCUUCAGAAGAUAACCAAACCAACGGCAACAAACUAAUCCAAAAUGUCUCCAUAAAAUGAGCACUCCGAUGGCAAAAACUUGGACCUCUAAGGCCUUAUUUAUACCCCUUAUGUCAGUGUCAAGCACGUAAUUACACAGAUCUUAGGAGGCAGUAAAAAGAGAGGCAUAUUUCACAGUCUAACGCCCAUAAUUUUCGUCCAACAAAUCGACCCCAAAUUCAUAGGACCAACACCCGAGUUAUUCCCCCCUCAUGCCCCAGAGUCGCACAUAAGCUGAGUUGAACUGGGAGAGGAGACGAAUGAGCGGGUUACCUGAGAGGGCCGAGAGUACUUGGAGGGACGGCCCGACCAGCGCGGCGGGCGCCCCCGGGUCGCCGACAGCAGCCGCCGCGGCUGCGGCCGCGGCUCCGCUGCCGGUGGUGCUCCCGAAGGGGCGGCCGCGCUUCGCCGGCGUGCCGCCGCCGCUCCCGCCGGACUUGCCCGUCUGCUUCUGCAUGGCUAGGGUUUUGGAGCUCGGAGCUUCGAGGGCGGAGCGACGGAGAACGGCGCGUGCUCGGAGCUCGGAAUUGGGGUGGGCACCGUGUCGAAGCGGACAAGGCGAUCCGCGGGAUUACUCGGACGGUGGAGAUUGAGCGGUAUACGCCUCCCACGGCCAAGUGAUACAUGCCGUUCUCUUGCGCUAGACAGGUGGGUCAAGACUAUAGCCCACGACAUAGUUUGAGUUUCGAGGUUUUAAACUAAGCGUGUCUCUGACAGCAUAACGUUGUGAACAGUUAACCAAACGGAAAUGCUAUGCAUCCGACAUCUUACCCAUCUGUCCGGAUGCACCAUCCACUGUCCGCCAGAUCCGAUAGCUUAGCUCGCUUCACUCACAUUUCUCCCCCCACUCCUCCUCCCGCACGCCACCCUCCCGUCCAUUUGCCCCUUCCCUUCUCUCGCUUUCACCUAGUACCUGAUGCUUUCACCCAAUACCCGACGCGCCCCUGCGGUGGCGAUGCGGACGCCGCGGCCGGCGGGAAGGAUGCCGGCAGAGGGCAGCGCUGGCGAGCCAAGCGACGAGGAGGAUCAUGGUGUCUCCUCACGCCCGCACGCACACCGCCCGCGCCCGGCCAGUCGUGAUAUGGACGCCACGACGGCCCCAGCGGACCACCCCGAGGCGAUUCGGUCCCGCGAUGCUAUUCAGGCCAAGGAGAACAAGUGUGCGAGGCUAACCAGUGAGUUCAUCAUGCCCGACAUCUUUCUUCGCUAAUUUGUGCGGAUUUGGGUUGGGAUUUCUUUCCAUUUAGGGUUUAGGGUUCGGUUUUGUCCGAUUUUUAGGGUUCGGUUUGCAAUGUUUCAUCCACUAGUACUGUUUAUGUUGCAAAAUUUCAGGAGCAAUCAAACUUAGCAUUGUACUUGAGCAAUCAAACUUUCCAUGCUAGCAUUUUUGCUGUGCUCGGGUGUGGUUUAUGUGUUGCUCAGGUGAUGAGACUGAAGUUACGUCACAUUUCUUCAGUUUCCAUUGGCAGAGCAACGAGACAACAUAACAGUUAUUGUGAAUUUGAUAUAUCUGCAGGGUGUCACAUGAGUUGAGAUAUCGGGUACAUUCCUAGGAAAUCUAAUUGUCUCAAUUCUUUUGUAGUGCUCUAGUUGAAUUGUCAAGAACCAGUGUUUUGCUGAUGUGCAAUGUUUGUAUUCGAAAUAGUGUUACUAGCAGAAUGAAGAGGUAGACCUGAAAUGUCUAUUACUCCUUUCUGUUUGUUGGUUAGUUACUUGUUUCGUGGAGGUGAUACUGUGUACGUGGUCCUUCAAAUCUUAAGCCUAAAUAAAACACAAGCGUUUAUGCGUGAGGAAACAAAAACUAUCUAUCAAGCUGCCUUUUCCACUUAGGCCUUGUUUAGUUGCCUAACUUUGAAGAUGCAAAAUCACUGUUAUAGCAAUGUAGCACACUGUAGCGUUUCGUUUGUAUUUGUGAAUUAUUGUCCAAAUAUUGACUAAUUAGGCUCAAAAGAUUCGUCUCGCAAAGUACAACAAAACUGUGCAAUUAGUUUUUGAUUUCUCUACAUUUAGUACUUCAUGCAUGUACCGCAAGUUUGAUGUGAUGGGGAAUCUUCUUUUUGCAUAGUGUCAAAGUUGGGAGUUGGGGGGCCUUAACAAUGAGCAACUCUCGAGUACUUUUCACAGUAAAAAUGCACCUGUACUGUUUAUGUUGCAAAAUUUCAUGUUUCAACCAUCCAUGCUGUCUUUUUCAACACAUAUGUUUCACAAAGUCCCCGCUGAGAUGAGCCAUUCCACGGAGCGGGAGCCCAAAAAUGUGGCUCCCCGCGGCUUCCUCCCUGUUUUUGCCAUCCCUAUACUCGGGAGGGGCAGGGCGCAGGCGGAGCGAGGACGGCGCCGGGCAGCCAGCAGUGGGAGGCAGGGACAUCGCCAAGCAGCCAGCAGCGGGGACGAGGAAGGACGGUGGCGGGAGUGCGGUGGAGAUGCAGCACGGUGGGGGCGGUGGGAGUGCGGUGAGAUGCAGCAUGGCGGGGGAGCAGCAGGGCGGCAGCAAAUACGAUCCCUGCGCAGGGGCAGGGCCUGCAGGCGGAGCGAGGACGGCGCCGGGCAGCCAACAGUGGGAGGCAGGGACAUCGCCAAGCAGCCAGCAGCGGGGACGAGGAAGGACGGCGGCGGGAGUGCGGUGGAGAUGCAGCACGGCGGGGGCGGUGGGAGUGCGGUGAGAUGCAGCAUGGCGGGGGAGCAGCAGGGCGGCAGCAAAUACGAUCCCUGCGCGGGGGCUAAAGUGGAGUAGCGGUGGCGGCCGCCAUGAGCGCGUGGUCUGCCGGCCCGGCUGGCACGCGGCCUGCCCUCCACACCUCAGCUGCUGGCGUAGCAGAAACAAAUAGCAGCCCAGCAGAAGCAAGCAGCACCAGAGACGCCGGAGGCCUGGGCAUCAACGGCGGAGGUUGAAAAGACGGGAAGGAAGGGAACGCCGAACAGAUAAGGUCCAAGGAGGAACGAAUGACUGGUAGAAAAGAGAGAAAAACAAAAAAGAAAAAGGCGUGUAAAAAAAGAGAGAAGGAUCGGAUAAUAAGUGAAGGGGUAAGAAGGAAAAAGAAAAAUAUAGCAAGGGUAUCAUUAGUAUAUAAUAAUAUAAUGAUUGGCUAAUAUAUAAUUCUCCUCAUUAAUAUUUUUAUCAUACAAAACUCAAAUUAUAAACAAGAGAGAAAUCAUGGCAUAUUGUGCAUUUGACAUAUUUCAUCCAUUCAUGAGAAACAAAAGAAGCUAUUUUACUAAACGUUUUUCAAAACGACUUUAGCUCUAUCAGAGAAGCUGCAUGUGUAGGCCUGGAGCCAUGGAGCCAUGAACAUAUGCAUACGUCACAAUUUACAAGCAGUGCACGUAAGCACGUCAUAAUUUACAAGCCAGGCCACGGAGCUAGAGACAUUCUUCGGCCCCGUUUUCUUCCACUGACUUAUUUUUAGCACCCGUCACAUCGAAUGUUUAGAUACUAAUUAGGAGUAUUAUUAAGAUUUGCUUGAAGUACCUUCACUUGCUCUUCGGCUUCUACCACUAGAUCAAGACCAUAGGUUUGUCUUUCUCCAGUUUGUGACCAAUUUAAUGGUGUCCGACAUUUCCGGCCAUAUAGGACUUCAAACGGUGCCAUCUUCAAACUGGCUUGGUAGCUAUUGUUGUAAUAGAACUCCGCCAAUGGCAGGCACUUGUCCCAAUUUUUGUCAUAGUGGAUGACACAAGCUCUCAACAUGUCUUCAAGGAUCUGAUUGACUCUUUUGGGUUUGACCAUCGGUUUGAGGAUGAUAGGUUGAGCUACGGAUGAGUUUGGUGACCAUGGAUGCUUGUAGCUGUUCCCAAAAGCGUGCUACAAACUGAACUCCUCGAUCAGAGAUGAUGGUCUUAGGCACACCGUGUAGGGAAACAAUGCUGUCAGAUNNNNNNNNNNNNNNNNNNNNNNNNNNNNNNNNNNNNNNNNNNNNNNNNNNNNNNNNNNNNNNNNNNNNNNNNNNNNNNNNNNNNNNNNNNNNNNNNNNNNAGGAGCUGCCUAUGAGUUGCUACCCUUAAACAUCUGUAAAUAAUGGGCUUAACUAGGGCGUAAUUAGGCUCAAUAGAUUCGUCUCGCCGCUUAGAUCCAUCUUAUGUCAUCCUUUUUUAAAUCGUCUACGUUUAAUACUCCUAAUUAGUAUCUAAACAUUCGAUGUGACACGUGCUAAAAAUAAGUCAGUGGAAGAAAACGCCCCCGAAUAUUACUUAGGAGUUUAGGACUUGGGAGUGGCGAAAAUGGAAGAAACAACAUUAGCCCAACGUAAUCCACAAAUCUGCCGGGUCACCGUCAAAGCCCCGCAUCUGGCCCUGCAGAAACUUCAGAAAAUUGGAAAGAGAUUUGUAAAUAAGUUAGUCAAAGGAGAUUUUAAGAGCGUGCCUUUCUUUUAUCUGAUAAUGUGUACUAUCAUACCGUCACUUUGGGAAAAAAAAUUCUAAACAAAACGAUUCUUUUGGAUGAUUAAAUAGCUAACAUCCAUUAAAACAGCAGUGUUUCAGUGUUCCGUCUAAAAUGAAUUUAUAAUAUGUAUGGCAGUACAAGUAAAUGAAUAAUUGCAGUUAUGGGAAGCUAGUGUUUUGAUAUCUAUCUGGUCCGGAAUUUUCUAGAACACAACCAAGCAUAUAUGUGCGCAUAGCCACAUUGUACCGACUGCCCCCAAUUGGCAUCACAGUGGAGCUAGAAAAUUUUCAAGUGCUAGAGGUAAACUGAUGAAUUAGCUCUCACCUUUGUUUUUUAUAGCACGCAGAUCAACUAGGUGGCGCAUCGUUGGCCUCCCAUGUGGGCAGUUCCAUGGGGACCUUAAUCCUGUUAGAUUUUUAAGUAUCUGAAGUACAAAAGUAAAAGGGGCAUGUUACUGAGUAUUUUAAAUGAAUGCUUAUCUUUGUCUAAAAAAGGAACGCCUAUCUUUCAAUGAGCAGUGACACUAUGGGGGAAGGCAUUGCAUAUACUUCUGCAAAGACAGAAAUGGCGUCCAAAGACCCUAGAAGUUCCAUCUGAAUCUAACUGAAUUUGUAAUUACCUUUCUCAUCUCGGCUUUUGUCAGUGGAUCGCCAAUCAUAAUAGACAUUCGGCAAGCCCUUGAAGCCAACAUAGCACGAACCCUCGAAGGGCAAACAGAAUCAGUUUUAUCCAGCUUGUAGCUACUGAUUAUCGAACAGUCUCCUUGACUAUCAGCAAGCAUGGAGAUCAGCUCCUUUACAUCUAAUCAAGGAAAAUUAGAAUAAGACCAUGUUUGACAUGAGCAAAAGAAACCAAAAUUUCUGACAUAUGAUAAGAAAUAAUACCUUGAACACCAAAUGUAAUAUUUUUGCUGAAAGGCACCGCUUUCAAAAGAUAAUGGUUACCAGGGGAAGCAUGCAAAUCUUCUUCCAAAACAAAGCCAUUUGUUCUGAAAGUUGAGAAAAUGGAAGAAAACAGGUGAGGUAGCACGAAUUUGCUCAGUAUCAGUAAGAGCUGUCAUCAUGGCAUGUUUCAUCAAUUGGUGCCAGAGAGGAAAAGAACUUGAUGAUUCAAGACCACGUUGGCAUAAUUGCACAUUUUAUCAGGCAUAAUUGAUAUUUUCAACAUUAAAUAGAGAGCAAAACUUUUUGGAAGGAAAAAACACAAGGAACUGAUAUAUGAAGAGCGUGACUACAUGAGUUAUUCAUAUGACUUGCAGGCUAUAAAAGCUGCCUAGUUCCACCUAGGUCGGUAUAGCUUAUUUUUUCAUGAUGUACAAGACUUUUUCGCAACAGGAAUGUGGAGCAUACAAUGUAUUUGUUUUUUUAAUAAAUAGAUAACACUAGAGUAAGUAUAGAUAACAAAUGGAUAACACAAGCUGUGAAUAUGGCCAUCAGAGUUUUUUUUCCUUUGUUAGGGGGCGCCAACAAUGAUAAUUUUUCUUCAAAAAAUUCAGUGCAAAAAUUCAAGUCGGGGGGGGGGGGGGGGGGAAUGUUCAAAACAAAAUAGUAGUGGGUGUUGUUUGAGCAAGCAAAUGUUAAUUGUUUAGAUGCAACAAACAUCUGGUCACAUAAGCAACUGAAUAUUACAGCAUCAAAAAUGCAUAUUCAUCAUUAAGUCGUUCUAUCCUAGAAUCGAAUGGCCAAAUUGAAGUAGUAAGACAAUGAAUACCUGAUAGUGUUCAUGUUCAUAGAAACUAUUACUUCUUCCUCCGGUGAUAGAUCAAGCCUCAGUGGCCUGCAUUUGAAUAUAAUCACAAAUACCCAACAGAAAGAGGUAUAUCGCAAAUGGCACACAUAAAUACAAUGCUACAAAUUAUGGAUCCAUACUUGGAAACACUCAAACAUCACAGAGUUAUGAGCNNNNNNNNNNNNNNNNNNNNNNNNNNNNNNNNNNNNNNNNNNNNNNNNNNNNNNNNNNNNNNNNNNNNNNNNNNNNNNNNNNNNNNNNNNNNNNNNNNNNGAAAUGGUAAUGCAAAUCCGGAUGAUAAUGUAAGUUGUUUGUGAUGACACCAAAAAUGUUACCUUGUAGCUUUCUCAAGACAAUUUGCUUUAUUUGCACGCGAUGUCAUAAAACCAUUCUUUCUUCUUCUCCUAAGAUCAGCAACAGUAAAUUGCACAAUGGGAUAUUGUACAGAUGCAGAAUAUACUGCAGCAUCAUUAUCAGAAUCAUGAGCAUCAGGCAAAGGACUAUCCUUCAAUGUAUUCAGAUGUUCCACUUCUGAAUGUUUAUUGGGAGCACCAGAAAUCGAAAGACAUCGAUCAUGCUGUUCCUCCUGCAAGGAUUCCAGCAGUUAAUCCCGUGAGUGAUGGAAACAAAAGCUUUUUUUCGGUUUGAGUUAAACUCAUACUGAACCACAGGUAGCUAACGAAAGAAAUUAUUCCAGAAGCAAUGUCUAUUGUUUUAAACUAAAACUAAUAGCAAAAAUACCAAAAUUAGAUUGAUAAUUCACAAAUUAGAACAAUGUAAUCUUGCAAGAAAAUAAAAUAGAAAAUAGAAAUCCAUCAUGAACUCUUAGAUUUAGGAGCAGCAGGCAAAGCAUUUAACAGGAGUGUUAAGAAUAACAAGUGAGCAAGCAGCAUAAGAACAUGGACAAAACAAGCUAAGGUAUUGGCAGCAGUUCAAUCUCCACCAGAAUAUAAUGGAAAGGGCUGCAUAUCUGACUGUAAACAGUUUGCUUACCACAUCAGGUUCUGGAGUGAGAACAUCACAUGGACUUAAUACUUUCGCACCACAGAUCACAGUAUUAGGCGGUUCAGAAUGCUGUGGUGAAACAUCUGCCCUCACAGAUACAAAAGAUCGUGGGGAUUGCUGUUUUAAAGAGUUUGUUUCCAGAGGCAAAUUGAACUCAGGAAUAUUAGAUGUCCUUGAGCUUAAUGCAGCUGGUGGAUUUGCAUCUAAACUUGUUCUCCUCACUUGUUCUGAGCCUACCCCACUUCUCAACACUGGAGUUUCAGAGAUAAGAUUGCAAUUAUCUUCGUGCUUCUGCUUAUUUGGUGAAACAAAGUUUCCUUCCAAACUUGUUCUCCUCACCUGUUCUGAGCAUGCCCCUAUUCUCAGCACUGGAGCUUCAGAAAUAAGACUGCAAUCAUCUGUAUAGUCCGGCUUGUUUGGCAAUAUAAAAUUUGCUUCCAAACUUGUUCUCCUCACUUGUUCUAAGCAUGGCCCUCUUCUCAACACUGGAGCUUCAGAAAUAAGAUUACAAUCGUCUUCGUGCUUCCGCUUGUUUAGUGAUACAUAGUUCAUAAGAGAAGAUUGAACAGUAGGUGAAUGGGUAGAUUUUGCAGCAAGCCCUGUUCUGAAAUGAUUUGCUCCCGGUGCACAACCUUUUCCUUCUUUAGGAAAUCUUUUAGGUUGUUCAUAUGAGAAGGAUGGAAGCCAGGCAGAUCUAUCAGCCUGAGUGGCUGUGCCUCUUGACAAGGGGCUCACUUCUCUAGAUGUGGCAUCAAUGGCUACCUUUGUCACUGAAGAAGGCUUUUUCUUGUUCUCUGGUGAAACCUGAUCCUCGCUGUCUGUUUCUUCCUUGUCAUCACUAUUGUCCGGAGAUGAAACAUUCUCUACUUCUAUCAAAUCUGUGUCUUCACUAUGCCCAUCAGUAACAGUAUCCUCUUCCUUUUCAGGAUCUUCAACACGAUUGACUGAGAAACUACAUUGUUGAGGGGAAUACAGAUUUUCAACAGCUUCACGUAAAGACCGCAGAAUUAUACUCUCAGAUGAGAAGAAAAUCUUUCUCUUGUCAGGUGCGACAUUCACAUCAUAGGAUGUGGUUGGAAUACGGAAAUCCAGGAGAGCCACAGGAUAUUGCUUGGCAUUCGAGCUUCUGUACAGCUCAUUGACAAGUUUUGUGACCUUUGGCAUAUCAACAGGUCUGCUGUUCACAUAGAAGAAUUGUCUAUCUCCUGAAUUGCGACCAGUACCAGGUCCAGGUUUUGAGAGAAAGCCUUCUACUUGGCAGCCAUCUGAGAUGGUAACACUGAAGGGCUCAAGAGACUUGAAAGUGUUCAGACCAAAUACGGUAAUGAUAUUGUCUUUCAUUGAACUGCUGCCUUGAGUUCUAAGCACCACCAUUUUAGAAUUUUUGCCAACAGUAUUAGUGCAAAGUAAUCUGACCCCUUUGGCAAUCAAGGCAUAAGCCUAGCACAAGUAAGAUGCAACAAUUAGUAAUAGAGGGUAAAUAGACAAUCAGACAAUAAAACCUAAGCAAUAAUCUGAACAGAACAUGCCUACUACAGGAAGGAAAUAAGUAGAGAUGUGUGACAAUAAAUUGUUGAAGGGGAACAGUUACCCUCAACAUUUGAUAGCCACACACAAAACAUGCAAAGCAAAGCAAUCUUAGGAACUGAAACAGACAACUCACAUUCAGCAGGGAGAUCACUUUCCCAUACUCUUUCCGAAUGUUCCUGUUAAACUCCUUGCUCCUGACCGGCAAGGUGGAGAACAACUUCUCGACUGUCACCGUGGUCCCAACCUGCCGUGCGGUCUUCCUCUCGCUGGCCACCACGCCCGAGUGCUCAAACUCCAAACGCGUCCCAACGGACUCAUCCUUGGUCCUCGUCUCAACCGUCAGUUUCCCCAGCGCGCAGAGCGAGCUCAGCGCUUCACCCCGGAAUCCGAAGGUGACCACGGAUCCGAGGUCGGAGAAAUCUGAUAUCUUGGAGGUGUGGUGCUUAAGAGCAAGCGCCUAUUGAAGUGGCCGCGGCAUGAUUAGCGAGGGGCAAUUCGUGGCAAUGCCUAAUAGCAGGGAAAUGGGGGGAAGGGGAACUGAUGGCUCCUUGUAUUGGGGACAGAUGCCUCACCUGGAAGUUGGCGGGCGAGAUGCCGUAGCCGUUGUCGGCGACCUUGAACCACUCCGCGCCGUAGGCCUUGAGGCUGACCUCGACGGAGGUGGCGCCGGCGUCGAGGCUGUUCUCGACGAGCUCCUUGACGGCGGAGGAGAGGUCGAAGAUGACCUGGCCGGAGCAGAUGCGGUGCACCACCGCCUUGCUUAUCGGCUUGAUCGCCGGCGAGGAGCCGCCGCGCCCGUCUCCUCCUCCAGCUCCAGCCAUUCCUCCUUAAACCCUACGCCUCCCGGUGGAGAGGACGGGGUUUCCGGCUUCUGCUUCCUCUAAUCCUCUGGAACCCGCGCUCCUGGCUAUGCAACCGGCAAGCGAUUGAUUUCGCAGGCUCGCCGCAGUCGCAGCACGAGUGGCGGCGGCGAGACGCAUAUGCGUUGGGCCUUCAGUGGGCUUGGCCCAGAUAGAGAAUGAAACUCGAGAAAAAUGGGCCUUUUGUUAAAAGAAGUUUAGGCCCAUGCUUUUCUCUUUUUCCUAAAGAAAUUUAGGUCCAUUUUUUUGUAUGACCCAAUCCAAAUAUUGCCUAUGAUCAGGUAUAAUUUUCUCUGAGCUUCUUGUUGUCUCCAUGCUUCGUCAUGCUACCUUAUCCUGCAUACUUGAUUUUAUAAUUGCCGAGAUGAAACUACAAAUUCAUUUUGAAACUUCUGAGCCAGCUUCAUAAUAAACACAGCCGGCAAUAGCUAAUAAUUAGAAAAAAAAAAUCUGUGUGUAUACACAUAAAGUGUUUUGGUCUUUUGGGGCAUUAUUGUUAGGUUCGGGUUGAACUGAAUUCGCUUAGGAAAAAAAAUAAAACUCCAGCGCAGACUCAAGUGAAAAUGUUGCAACCUCGCGCAACCAAGAAUUAAGCACGGCUUUGUCCAUAACCAGGCCAGGUCACCCCCAAAACCACCCUCCCGCCCACCGGAUUAUGGCGCACCGGUGGCCGGUCAAAGCAAGCAGCCGGACAACACAAGCCCAAGUUGGCCGCGACUGCGUCCAAAGAACGUGACGAAUCCGCAACAGAACCAUGCGUUCUCCGUUCCGAGUCACCAUCAACUCAAUUAAAAAGAAAAAGAAAACGUGACGAUUCCGAAGAAGCGAGGAGGCGCCUCGCCGCGGCGCCACCCAUCACCCAGCCUGCCGCGCGGCGCGUUUCAGCCCGCGUGAGCUGGUUGGAUGCACCUGCGUGGAGGUGCGGGUGGCCCCCGGGUUCGUCGGCCGCGACCGGUGUUUGACUGCCCCGCCGCCGCCCAGACGAGCGGUUCUCGCAUUGGAUUUGUAUACUUUUGUUCGUUUUACACCUUUCCAUUUGCCGAAUUUGUGUAGCUGUAUCCCUCCUGUGGUAGCAUUAGUGUAUGGGCCCCACGUACCGCAAAAAAUGUUCUCACUCCCCUCCGUUUCUCCUCCCCCAGGCGAGCAGAGAGGAAAAGACACAGCGUCGUCUCCAUCUCUCGUUCCCCAUCCUUUCUAUUCUCCUGCCGGAGCUUCCCAACCCCAUCAAUCCAGCCAUGGAUCAAGAAAUUAAUUCCAUGGAGGACGGUAAAUAAAAACUCCAGCAUGUUUUUACUUUUUUCUAAAUUCCAAUGUGUUCCACGUACCGGUUACAACGGCCGUAAUCUACUAAUUUCUCUCUCCCGUUCCACCUCGGUCACUUUCCAAAGACAGAAGCGUGCACUUAUAUACACGCAUAAGUUAGGUGAUAGCAAAAGCGUUUCGUGGAUCGGAACGCUGGCGAGAAAGAAUUAGAACAUUGACGAGAUAGCGUAUAACGAUCUUCUUGCUUCUUUAUUAGUUUUUUUUAAUCAGUAACGGAUAAUUGGAUGAGGCUACAAUUUGUGUCGGAUACGAAAGUGAUCGAGUAGAGAUACAUGUUAAGGGGGAAAAUAAUAGCAUGGACCUUUGUUUAUGCAUUUUCAUACGAAAUAAUGAAGAGCACCGCUAGGCGCUAAACAUAGGAAUAUGGUACGGCUGGUUUUUCGUCUACAAAAUUGCAACCACUUCCUUUCUUUGAUCGCAAGAAAAAAGUGGGUUUCAGGGGGUGUUUGUUUCUUUAGUCCCUCCUAAAAUUUCUAUCACAUCAAAUGUUUAGAUACUAAUUAGAAAUAUUAAAUAUAGACUAAUUACAAAACCAACUGCACGGAUGGAGACUAAUUUGCGAGACGAAUCUAUUAAGCCUAAUUAGUUCAUGAUUUGACAAUGUGAUGCUACAGUAAACAUGCGUUAAUGAUAGAUUAAUUAGCUUAAUAGAUUAGUCCUCCUAAUUAGUCUGCAUCUGUGUAAUUAAUUUUAUAAUUAGUUUAUAUUUAAUCUCAUAAUUAGUCUCCGAAUAUUUGAUAAAAAACGCACCAUGUGAAAGGAAUCCUGCCAAGUGUGGAUACUAAGCGAAUUCCAACAUAUUUCAAGGACUUGAACACAAACAAUGCUGGUAUAUAACAAGACCCGGACAGACUUUCCCCCACCAGAACGAGAGAGGAAGAACUCGAAAAAGACAGAAGGCGAAAAUUCGAAGGAAAGAAGAAGAGGAGAACGCGAAGCAAAUGGCGGAGGGCCCGAGCAAGAUGGAAUCCAUGAGGAAGUGGGUCGUCGAGCACAAGCUCCGUGCCGUAGGUACGCCUCGUCAGUUUUCCUGCGGAUUCGUUUUCUUCGCCCGGAUCUAGUUAUUCGGCGUUGGUUUAUGAUGUAUCUCAAAUCCCUACAAUUUCUUUCUGACGUUAUUAGCGGAGUUUCGCAAUUUGGAUUGUGGGAGUCUAUCACGAAAUUAUGACCUAGUUUUUCUGUUUUCCGAGUAUUUUUGGGAAAGUUGUUUUUUUAGAUUAUUUCCCCUACUGGUUGCAAAGUUUUCUGAUUAUUGCGGGAUGUUUGGUUGGAGAAAAGGUUGCCUCUGGCUCACUGGGAUCAGCAGUUCGAUCGCCUACAACUGGUCGCGGCCCAAUAUGAAGCCUAGCGUCAAGAUCAUCCACGCAAGGUUAGUUUAUUUUCUCAUUUUUAUUUCACUCCUUUAACUUUUUGCGCGUUUUUAACUACAGGAUAGCAUGUCUUGUAUUAUCAUAAACAAGAAUACCGCAAUUGAUUUAUUCUUUUCUUAGAUCCAAUAACUUAAUUAGUCUUGAACAUUUCAUAUUUUUAAAACUACUACAAUUAAAAAUGGUUGAUUUUCUUGUCUGCGUCUGAAACUCCGUUUGAGAGCUAAUCUGCAAUAUGAAAAAGCCCGACCAACUUACAUGUUCCUAGACCUACAGGACUACAUCUCCACGGACUUCAUAUGAUUUUUUGGAAGUUUCUGUAAGGCUGGCUUAUUAGGUAUAACAUUGCUCAAUAACUGCUAAGAUUCCAGCCACAGUUAGGUAGGAUGGACUUGGCAUCAGGAUUGUAAGUAAAGAUCGGUGGUCUGGCAAGAAGUUUGAUUUGAUUGUAGAAAAGUCUCUGGUUUCAAUCGUUGUUAACUGUUGGUAGUGGUUAUAAAGUAGGUGGUGACAUUUGGCACAAGCACAAAUGCAGGGAUACCGUGGGUUUGCUGUGCCUGGAGGAAAAUAGUUGGUCUUGAUUCUUUUCAAAUAUACAGCAUUGGUUUAUAAGGUUGUAUGACAGUGUGUAUUUAUAUGGAUUUGGUUUCACAAAUUGGUUUGGGUGCCUGCCUGAUAGUGUUACCUUAUCUCCUGUAGUCCUGUUUUAAGCGUGCAGUCGUACCAUUCAAAAGAAAAGUUAAAGUUUAGUAGCUUCUUGGUUAUUGCAGACCUGUGCUUGAUGAUCUGUUAGGUAUAUACACUGGUAUUUGUCCUUACAUGAUGUAAGGAGUAAUUUAGGCAGCCUCUAGUUUAGUCUUUAAGCUCAUAAGGUUGUAAGAGUACCAAGUUCUCUCUGUUUCCUGCACCUUUAUGCAUUGGCUUAUAUGACCUGUCCACUCCAGCCUAAAAGUAAAAGAACAUCCGCAGAUGCAUUACCCAAUCCCUUGUCAAACUACUUUAGAUUGAACUUUUUAAUGCGUUUUCACACCCUCCUCCAAAGUCCUAAUUUGCUUAUUUCUUCUGAAUGUUCUGUAAGCCUGUCCAAGCCUAACUGCCAAAUUUGGGCGUGUUUACCUAGUUCAGCACAUAAAAUAUCUGAACUGUUGCUAUACCUUUGGCAUUCUGCCAAUAAUAGGAAACUCCUUGCCUUUUUUUUUUGCCAAAAUGGGAUGAAAACAGAUGCUACUUAAUUGAUGGUUCCAAUUUUUGCAAGUUUUUAGGGCCUACCUGCAUAAACAUAAAAACACCCUUAAAACCACUAUGGAUUGAACUUGUACAUUGAUCUUUCUCAUGUUGAAGGAUAGUGUUGUACAAAAUCCUUGAUGAACCUUCUCGCUGUGGCUGUUAAUUGGUGCAACCUUCACCUCAUAUAUUGCAGUAGUCAACAAUGUUGUAAGAUAGGUUAAAUUCAACUGCUAAUCAAUCGCAUGUAAAUGUACCGAAGAUGAUUGUUUUCAACUUUUCAUUCUGUAUCAUCUUUUGCUAUUUAUUUGCCUCUGGCUCUGAGCUCUUUUUAAUUCACAUAUAUAUGGCUUGUACAUGUUGUACUUCAUUGCACCUGCUUCGCUGAUGUUACUUCUCAUAGUGCUCAUUUCAUAACGGGUUCUGCGGUUUUAAAAAGAUAGUGUGCAUGACAAUUUGAUCUUAGAUUGGCGACCUUAGAUUGUGUGCAUGACAAUUUCAUAACAAUUGCUUAGAUUGGCAACCUUUGUUGCACGUAGACUGUAGCCACUGCAUGUAUUACUGAAUAUAGAAAUUGCAGCUGUUUUAAUACACACAGAUUCCAGAUGACUUCACUUGUAUUCAAUUCUAUCAUGCUAUUAUUUGAAAACUCACAAUCCUAACAUCUCAUAAACUGUUGACUUUUGCAGGUUGCAUGCGCAGGCUCUAACCCUUGCUGCAUUGGUUGGUUCUGCAUGUGUGGAGUACUAUGAUAACAAAUAUGGUUCUUCUGGGCCUAAGGUGGACAAGUACACAAGCCAAUACCUGGCACACUCGCAUAAAGAUUAAGAUCUCCAUGUUCAUUCCUGCAUAGCGGAUUAAUUUUGGGCUCAUUUCUGGGUGCUCAACUGCUCAUUAACUAUGUCCCUGGAUGCUGGAUGGUUCUCUUUGCCCCCUUAUUAAUGCAAAAUGACAGUGUACUUGCCAGGGCAUUCCUGGGAAAUGGCAUAGAGGGUGUAAUGGUGAUAUCACCUUCAUAAUUUAGCCUCAGGUUGCAUUAUGCAACAUCACAUUGUGAACCUUCCUUGGAUGUUUUUAUCUUUUUUCCCCAAAGAAAAGCAAAGGAGAGAGAUCCUGGUUUUUGCCGAACUGUUUUGUGUUCUCUGUCUCUUGUUCAUGCGUGCUUGUAUGCUGCUGGCAACGCAAAUCAGAGAUGCUUUUAACGAUGAUUUGUAGUUGUGGAUAUGUACUACUCGCAAAUUACAACUUUAUUAUAAUAAAAUUCAGCCUAUGCUCUAUACAAAAUCAACUCAUUUUGUGGUCCCUUCUUUUGAGAAAUUUUGUGGCGUCUUCCAAAGAAUUGAAACGCUAGAAUUUGUGUGGUCCGUUAAAAUUCUAGGGGAUCAUUGCGCCUGCUCUCCGAUGCACAAUUUAGUUUUUUAAAAAAUAGCCUGCAUAGACGCCGACAGGUGGAGCCCGUCACAUUACGCCUGGUGCGUCAAAACUCGAAGACCCCAACACCUUCCCGGGCGGCGGCGGCGGCGGCGGCUCGAUGCUACCCCGAUGCGGACGCCGGAGACCAUCGGCCCGCUCCUCGCCCGCUACGGUGCGUCGCGGUCGCUGCUCGCGGGGGCGCACCUCCACUCCCACCUCCUCAAGUCUGGCCUCCUCGCCGCCUGCCGCAACCACCUCAUCUCGUUCUACUCCCGAUGCCGCCUUCCGCGCGCCGCGCGCGCGGUGUUCGACGAAAUCCCGGACCCGUGCCAUGUCUCCUGGUCCUCGCUCGUCACCGCCUACUCCAACAACUCCAUGCCCCGGGAGGCGCUCGGGGCGUUCCGGGCCAUGCGCAGCCGCGGCGUCCGGUGCAACGAGUUCGCGCUCCCCGUCGUGCUCAAGUGCGCGCCGGACGCCAGGCUCGGCGCGCAGGUGCACGCGCUGGCGGUGGCCACGGCGCUCGACGGGGACGUCUUCGUCGCCAACGCGCUCGUGGCCAUGUACGGCGGGUUCGGCAUGGUGGACGAGGCCAGGAGGAUGUUCGACGAGUCUGGUGGCGCCAUCAGCAAGGAGAGGAACGCUGUCUCUUGGAACGGCAUGAUGUCGGCGUACGUCAAGAACGACCGGUGUGGGGACGCCAUCGGGGUGUUCCGUGAGAUGGUGUGGAGCGGGGCGCGGCCGAACGAGUUUGGGUUCUCCUGCGUCGUGAAUGCGUGCACGGGGGCCAGGGAUUCGGAAGCCGGGAGGCAGGUGCACGCCAUGGUGGUGAGGAUGGGUUAUGACGAGGAUGUGUUCACAGCAAAUGCGCUGGUCGACAUGUACUCGAAGCUGGGGGACAUUGAUACGGCAGCGGUGGUUUUUGAGAAGAUGCCUGCAGUGGAUGUUGUCUCGUGGAAUGCUUUUAUUUCCGGAUGUGUGAUUCAUGGCCAUGAUCAUCGUGCACUGGAGUUGCUGAUCCAGAUGAAGUCUUCGGGGCUGGUGCCCAAUGUGUAUACAUUGUCUACUAUCCUGAAGGCUUGUGCUGGUGCUGGUGCAUUCAAUUUGGGCCGGCAAAUUCAUGGGUUUAUGAUCAAGGCCGAUGCAGUUUCAGAUGAAUUCAUCGGUGUUGGUCUUGUCGAUAUGUAUGCAAAGGAUGGGUUUUUGGAUGAUGCAAGGAAGGUGUUCAAUUUCAUGCCCCAAAAGAAUUUGAUUUUGUGGAAUGCACUGAUCUCAGGUUGCUCUCAUGAUGGACAAUGUGGCGAGGCGCUGUCACUCUUUCGCAGGAUGAGAAUGGAGGGGCUUGACCUUGAUGUCAAUAGGACAACACUGGCUGCUGUUCUCAAGUCAACAGCGAGCUUGGAGGCAAUCAGUCACACAAGACAGGUCCAUGCUCUUGCAGAGAAGAUAGGGCUCCUAUCUGACUCUCAUGUCAUCAAUGGGCUUAUUGAUUCAUACUGGAAGUGUGACUGCCUCAAUGACGCAGUUAGGGUUUUUGAAGAAAGCUGUCCUGAUGACAUCAUAUCUUCUACAUCCAUGAUAACAGCACUCUCACAGUCUGACCAUGGUGAGGAUGCAAUAAAGCUGUUUGUGCAGAUGCUAAGGAAAGGGCUUGAGCCUGAUUCUUUUGUACUAAGUAGCCUCCUGAAUGCUUGUGCUAGUCUGUCGGCCUAUGAACAAGGAAAGCAAGUGCAUGCUCAUCUGAUCAAGAGGCAGUUCACGUCAGAUGUGUUUGCAGGGAAUGCUCUUGUGUACACCUAUGCAAAAUGUGGGAGCAUAGAGGAUGCAGACAUGGCCUUCUCUGGCCUACCAGAGAGGGGAGUUGUCUCAUGGUCUGCAAUGAUCGGAGGGCUCGCGCAGCAUGGACAAGGGAAGAGAUCGUUGGAAUUGUUCCAUAGAAUGCUUGAUGAGGGCGUUGCCCCAAACCACAUCACUUUGACCAGUGUUCUCUCUGCUUGUAACCAUGCAGGGCUUGUUGAUGAGGCCAAGAAAUACUUUGAGUCAAUGAAGGAGAUGUUUGGAAUUGACAGGACCGAGGAGCAUUACUCGUGCAUGAUUGAUCUUCUUGGCCGUGCAGGGAAAUUAGAGGAUGCGAUGGAGCUUGUCAACAACAUGCCAUUCGAAGCUAAUGCUGCAGUUUGGGGUGCACUCUUAGGAGCCUCAAGAGUUCACCAAGAUCCCGAGCUGGGAAGGUUAGCAGCUGAAAAGCUCUUCACUCUAGAGCCAGAGAAGUCUGGCACACAUGUCCUGCUUGCAAACACUUAUGCUUCAGCAGGCAUGUGGGAUGAGGUGGCUAAGGUGCGGAAGCUAAUGAAAGAAAGUAACCUCAAGAAGGAGCCUGCUAUGAGCUGGGUUGAGAUGAAGGACAAGGUGCAUACUUUCAUUGUCGGUGACAAGAGCCAUCCAAAGGCAAAGGAGAUAUAUGGUAAGCUAGAUGAACUGGGAGAUCUGAUGAACAAAGCUGGUUAUGUUCCAAAUGUGGAGGUCGAUCUGCAUGACGUAGACAAAAGCGAAAAGGAACUGCUGCUUUCUCACCACAGCGAGAGGUUGGCUGUCGCUUUUGCAUUGAUCAGCACUCCAGCUGGAGCCCCAAUCAGAGUCAAGAAGAAUCUGCGCAUAUGCAGAGAUUGCCAUGUUGCCUUCAAGUUCAUUUCAAAGAUCGUAUCAAGGGAGAUUAUCAUCAGAGAUAUCAAUCGGUUCCAUCAUUUCAGAGACGGGACAUGUUCUUGCGGUGAUUAUUGGUGAAAAUGGUUUUGUCAGAUGAUAAUUUUGUUGCUUGUUGAGAAUUCUGAUGGUUAGAGCAGUUACAUGCCUUCAUGGAGGCUUAUAGUUUCACAAGAUUUUGUAGCCAGUCAGCUGAGUGAUGCAAUGCAAUUUUUUUGUUGACAUACCCGCAGCCAUGCAUUUUGCAGUUGAAUCUGCACUUUGUAACAUAAAAAUGUUCCUCAUGUACACUGCUUUUUAAGCAUUCUUAUUCAUUUUUUUAUGGAUACAGCAAAAGGGGAGAAAACUUCAGUCGCUUGCUCUUCCCUAAGUAUUUGAUCCAGCUAUUGGCCAACUCUUCUGUGCGUGUAAUGUGUUUCUAGGGGAAAAUGACAACCGUUAUGUCAAUUAAAAGGAUUUGCACAUUGAGAAGGAACUUAUAUUUUCUUGAUCUUGUUAAAGGUAGACCCUGUUGUUCUAGAUUAUUACUUUUUUUUUGCCUCUUGAAUUGUGGAACUCAUCAGGUAAGCUACUUGUCUCAGCUUUUCAUGCUGAUGCAGUCAUUAUCCAGAAUUGAUGGCAUGGUACAAACUUGUUAUAAGAAGUCUUAUAAGUGUUGAUUGUAAACUCUUCCUGCUGUUUAUUCUAGAUUGUGGUAUAAUUCGUACCAAACAUCUGCAUAUAUUAAAUUAGCUCAGCAAUUUGGGCCUGCAUAAAAAGUUAAUAGCUGACUGGUAGGGUUUUUUUAUCCGCCCCAAACAUCCAGGAGUAGCAUCUGUUUGCUUGUUCAUGUUGAAUUGAACUACAGAUUUUUCGUUAUAUUCUUAGAAUUGUGUUUGUAUCAACAUUAGUCUCUAAAUAUCUGUUUUAGUUAUAAUCUAUAACACAGCUGCACAUUAUGCAAUAUCCCCUGAGGCCAAUGUUGGCGCCCAUAGAGUUAAAUGAGAUAUGUGAAAAGGUACACCCCCAAUUAACUGCAUAUGUUCUAGUGUUGUGGGGAAUUUCUUUUAUUUAACAUAUAUUUAUCUUAAUUAGCUAAAGGAUUAUGAGUAUAACAGGUUCGAGUUGGAAGUUGAUUUGAGUGUCAAUACACAGUGAAAAUUAUGACCAUGAAGCACCUUUGAGACUGACAAAGUAGGUGAGUCUUUUUAAUCUUGCAAAAUCACAUGACCCACUAUUUUAAUGUACAUAUCAAUAUCAGCUCAGUGAUACCCUUUGGCAGAGUUGAAUUUGUGUUCGCUGCUGCCUUGUUGAUUAAUUCUGAUCAGUGUCAAUAAAAUUAUCAUAUUUUUAUGUUUAAUGUUUGGCAAUUGCAUGGUUGUCAUUUUCUUGACGAACCUUAGAUUGUUCUUAGUUGCGUGAUGGUUGCUUUACUUGAUAUGCAUUUGUUCUUUACUAAGAACUUGAUAUUCUUCCUUCCGUAUUAUGUUUUUACUGGUUAGUUUGUCCCCUGCUCUUUGUGGUCGUUGCGAUUGAUUAUGAAUUUUCUUAUUAGUUGCGUGCACCAAUCAGUUCAACUUAAAAGUUUAAACUGAUGAGAAGAGGUCUCCAACAUUUAUACAAAAUAACAUCUAACUGUUGGGUGUUUGUUUUACUAUCGUGUAAUCUCCGGUUGGUUCAAUGAGUAUGCCAGCAUUUAGAUCCGGUUGUAUCUAAGGCUCUGUUUGGCAUGGCUCCAACUCUGCGUAGAGCUGCUCUACUCCAGAACUCUAGGUAGAGCUAGCUUUGGGUGGAGUUGAAGCGGUUUAGAUGGGGUGUUUGGCCAGAAGAGUGCUCUCAGCUUCAAAAAAGAUCGAUUUCGGUGUGGAUUGCCAUUGUUGCCCCCCAAUUUAGGUCCCACUUGUCAUCCUCUCUAUCCCCAUCUUCUUCUUCCUCAGAAGACGCGGGUAGGGGUCGGGCGGCCGGCAGCGGCGGGGUGCAGACGCGCGGGAGCUGUGUCUCAGGGCAGUGGCCUGGUCCAGCGGUGGAGGAGCCCCGCCCAGGCGAGAUAGGGGCGGCGGGCUAGUGGGGCACGUGCUCGUACCGGCGGGGUGGGCGGACGGCGGGGUCCGCAGCGGGGUGAGCAGAAGGUGGGGCAGCUGCGGACGGUGGACAGCAACAGGGGUCGGGCGGCCGGCGGCGGUCAGGAGGGGUAGCAGGAGGGGUCGCCCCGCGGUGCGUUGAUGGGUGGCAGGGGAGGAAGACGACGGCCGAUGGCAAGGGAGGAAGACAGGCGAGCGGGAGGGAGUCAGGGGGGAAGGCUCGCGAGAAAAGAAAGAAACCAUUUUUUGUGUAACCAUUGGUAUUGGUGGGUAAUUACUCACCAACUCCACAAGGAGGUUCAUAUUGGGUGGUUUUAUAGCUGCAAAAGAGGUGCUCCAAAACUCCACCUCUAUUUGCACUACAGCUCCAUGGAAUUUUGGAGCUGGGGUGUUUGGUUAGAAAAUUUGCUGGAGUUGCUAAGUUCAGCUCCAGAGCUAUGCCAAACACACCCUUAGAGUUAGAGAUAAAGAUUAGUUGUGUUCUUUGUAGAGAGAACCCACAUGUUAAUGGUAGAUCCUUUACAUUGCAAAACACUGGAUAAGAAUAAUUUUUCAUUGUAUUAUAAAAAGGUAUCGAUUCGAUCUCACAUCCACUUUAUCCUAAACACUAAUUAAUACUCCGUUUCAAAAAUUGUUGGUCGUUUUGACAUUUCUAGGUGUAUAAUUUUUAUACAUCUAAAUAUAGUCUAUGUCUAGAUGCAUAAUACUCAUCCAUCCCAAAUUAUAAGUCAUUCCAAGAAUCUUGGAGAGUCAAAGUAUCUCAAGUUUGACUAAAUUUAUAUGAUAAUAUAAUAACAUUUAUGAUGUCAUCUAAGUAUCAUUAGAUUCUUCAUCAAUUAUAUUUUUAUAGUAUACCUAUUUGAUGUCAUAAAUCUUUAUAAUUUUCUCUAUAAUUUUGGUCAAACUUGAGAUGCUUUGACUCUCCAAGAUUCUUGAAAUGACUUAUAAUUUGGGAUGGAGGGAGUAAUAUUUAUGAACUUAUAAAAGCUAAAACAAUCUACAGAGGGAUUAAAAGAAUAGAUAUAAGUGUAUGUGUUUUCCUUCAUUUUCCACUCAAAUCCUAUCAAAAAAAUAUUACUAAUCUAUGAGCCACUUUUAUACUUUUUUUGCGAGUAACCACUUUGACACUUAGUAUUCCUAUUUUUAGAAACUGCACCUUGGAACAAAAAAGAAGGUAUACAUUGUAGGCUAUAGGUUCUGGAUUAAGUUAAUAAUAAAAUAGACAUAAUUUGCAAGAAACGGUCUUUCGUGUGUCUAUAUAUAUAUGCUCUGCGGUCUUUCGUAGAUAUACAUAUGCUCUGCCGCCCUAGCUAAACUCACCGAUAGCCGAUCAUGCAGCCAGAUACCAAUAGCAGCAAAAAGUUAUUGUUGUCGAAUAAUAUUUACACGAGCUAAAGCCAGCCCACAAGUCCUGCAUUCCGGCAAAACUUAGCGACAACUUGUAGAACUAUUCUUUUACAGAAGGAUGAAAGGGAGGUUCCUCCGUGUAUCUAAGCACCGGGAAGAAUAUGAACUACAAUCUAUUGUUCACAGUUGAGAGGUUAUACUGAUACACAAAGAGGUAGAAGCACACAUCCAAGAAUCCUUUACAAGUAACACUUAGUUGCCUAAGUCUUCCUAGCUUUGCUUCGUUUGCUGUGGGUUGGCUCUUGAAUCCAGCCUUCUCAAUCUGAUAUUGCGAACAAUAGCAGCUUGCUUCUGGCGAUGACUGUAGCUUUUCCUUUUGCUGCACAGAUAAAUGAAAAUUUGAGCUUUCAAAGAAAAGUAGUGGCACCAAUUGCAAGCUUCCAAUCUUCCAUCUUAGCAGGAAUCAAUUCAACACACCCUGCAAGAUUGUAGCAAGAAAAGGGGACAAAACUCGAAGUGUUGCACUUUCCAUAGGGUUUGGCUGGAGCUUCAGCGCUCCAUGAACUACUCCAUCGGCCACUCAUCCCGGAUUCGUAGUCUGAGGUUUGGGUUGUGGCCGUUUCUUAAAUGUUAAUGUUUGUGACACGUCUGUAACUGGUUAAGUUUUGUGUGUGUGUGGGAGCGGGCAAUUUGCCUCUCCUGUGUAUUAUUUUUCCUCCUCUUAAUGCAAUGACAUGCAGAUCUCUUGUGUUGUUCGAGAAAAAGAAUUGUUCCAUUCAUCUUCUAUAUGCUUAUGCAGUGCCUAUUCCAAAAAUACAAAACAUACUUUUUCCAAACAGGACUACAGGAACUAAUUAUGCAGAUAAUUUACUACCCCUUCAUAAAGAAUAUGAAAGAGAAGGAAAUAUGAAAGACCUGAUAAAAAUGAGGCCCGCGGUGAGGACCAUUCCUCCAAUUGCCCAUGAAAUUCUUUCACCGACAGGCAUAUCUCUUGCCCAUCUCUGGAAAUCUUGAACAUUCCAAGAAGCCACACCGCUUAAUGUUGGACGGUCUUUUGAAGAAGUCCAUGAAUCAGAGAUGGAAUCCAAACUCGCUUUACCACCAUAGCAGAAAGUGUCAUCAACUAAACCAGAGUUGGUCUCAGAAACUUGCACAGAGAAACCAGCAAGAUGACAUAACUCUGUGCCAUUAGAAACCCAUUUAUGUGCUUUGCCACAAAGGAUGUCACCUAAACCACAAGGAGAUAAGGCCUGACAAAAGAAGUAAGGAUAACUUUUCAGAACCAAACUGUGAAAUCAUAACCAACAAAAAGAUCACAAGGUGUUAAGGCUAAGAAUUUCCUACGUACUGAGGAUUAUUCAAGAAGAAAAGGGAAAUUUCACAGAAUCAAUAGCUAUUCAGAAUGUAUAGAACAGACAUGGGUUAGAACAUGACUGUUUAUUGUAGGAUCUAACCAUAAAAAUACCAAGCUUAAUCUAGCAAUGACACUUGGAUUUUGUAUGACAUUACAUGAUUGAGGUAUCAGUACCCACUACCCAAUUGUAUCAUUGAUCUCUAAUCAGAGGGUCUUUAGUCUUACCUGUGUUUUCAUAUCCACGGAGAAGUACGAUUCUGAACAAGCUUUGAAGACCAUAUCACAGAAUGACGCACAUACAACAGGAGGUCCAGGCCUGACACCCACGCGUGGAUCACAUAUUGAGCAUUCAAGCAAUUCCCACAAAUGGAUACAUUCUUGACCGCCUUCACCAGUUAAUGCAAGGUUCCUCACAGAGACCAGAGCAGGAAAUGUCUGAGUCACAUCGCAACAUGUAUUCUGACGGAAUAUCCUACACAGUGCUAGAUCUCUGCGCCCCUUCGGUGCCCUUCCAGGAGGCUUGCCUUCAGAUGAAAAGGCAGGAAAUCGUCCACCAGGUGAAACACAUACACCUUUUGGUUGUCCUGUGGAGAAAAAGUAUGUGAUAUAAAUCAUUAGAGUAACGCUCCCAUAGUAUUCAUUUACUGAGGAAUCAGCCAUGGUAACUACAAGCGAUUCUAUCUUAACUAGGAUCAUUUGAUAUCAACCACAAUAUUCAUAUAUAACUAAGCGAAUCAAAGAUACUGCUUGGCAUGCGGUAGCAUAAGCAUUGCUCAUCAGUGUAAGUGUUACAAGCAGCAGUAUUAUCAUAAAUCCGAAUUAUAUGGCAGUAAGGUAAACACAGCCAGUAAUGCAGCUUAACUUAAUUCAUAACUCAUCUAACAGUUUCUUUCAAAAACUGUCCUCUGCAGUAUAAAAUCUGAAAGUUCGCAAAAUGCAGACAGUAAAUUCAGAGUGAUGAGGCCUAAAGUACGCACACGUAGCCAUUUCUAAAUUACCGUCCCUUCUUCGCUAUACAUACAUUUAGCAAAAUCUACACUGCUUACACAAUUCGAGCGACCAAGCACACACCAGCAAGGAUCCAUACAAAGGCGCGACAAGAAUAUCUAGCGCCAUGCACGUAAACUUAGAAAAAACACUUCCCCUCCACAGCUCAAGUAAACGGAACCAAAUAAAACAAAAACUAUAAAUGAGAUCUCGAGUACUCCCAGGCGAGGCGACUGGUCGUACCAGCUGACGCGACCGGCGAGAAGAAGAGCAGCGCCAGGAGGAAGGCGAAGCUGGCCGCGGGUGGCGGGCGCGUCGAAUACCCCAUCGGAAGCCGCCUGCCCGCCCCGCCGGCGGGGUGCUCGCGGCAGCCGGGGGAGGUCGGCGCGGCGGAUGGGGAUAGGCGGUCGACGAAUCGAUGCGCUUCCCGGCGUCUGCGACUCUGGAGUCUGGACCAUACAAGUCAACAAGGCUCCUCGCCUCCUCGUCAAGAAAUGGGCCGGACGCGACGCGAGGCCCAACAUAAGAACACGGCCCGGUUUCGCUUCCAGAACUCCCAGGUUGCCGCUCGCCCGCAGCCGCGCGGCGUUUGUUGGAGAGGCAACGCAUUAGUCCCGCAUCGCUUGGCGAGAGCGGAGCGCGGAGAGGGAGAGCUACAAAAGGAGGGGCAGGGCACCUGACCAACUCAUACCUUUCUCGGCCUUUUGGCUAAGAUCAAGUGUAGUAUCUGUUCUUAUCAGUUUAAUAUCUGAUAUGUGGGCCAUGUGCCCACUUCGAUAUUAAAUUUAUUUUUUGUGGGGGAGGGUCCACCACAGUGGCUUGCCACUGGGGUCCUCGAGCGUCGCCCAGCCGUUGCACUGCUGGCAGGGCCUGGCGCACCCCAACCAAAGAAAAUUAAAAUUUUUUUAUGUUUAUUUGGGCCGCUGGUCUCUAUUUUGGCUGAGGCCUUUUUCUUGGGCCUGAAUGUCGUCAACACAUGUGCCCUGCUAUUUGAAAAAUCGAAAACAAUUAUUAAUUCUGGUCAAGCACGAUUUUCCAAUACAUCUUCUGUUUAGCUGCAUGAUCUAAGGGCAACCUAAUAUUUCAUGGGUGAAUUCAACCUGGCGCUUUAUCGCAGGUCAACUUUUAUUUAACUUUUCUUAAAUAAGGGUCGCAGUUCAACCUUUUUUUAUAUAAGGGUCUCAGCGUUUUAUCGCAGCUCUAAUCUGAAAUCAGUAAGAGCAGCUCUUCACAAAAAAUUCUUCCUCAAAACGAGAUAUUGGGGUUAUACUAAAAACACAAUAGAACUCUAAAAACUACCUCCAAUAAUUCAAAACAGGCCACGUCAUCGUAUCGGGUCCAUUAGAAUUCGUUGCUUUUUUUCCCACCACCGUGACCUCCAUGGCGUGGUCCUUGCAGGCGGUGAACUGCUGGGCGAGCACCCACUGCGCGUCAUCGUCGCCUCCGUCGCCAUUGCGGUAGCGGUGCAGGGUCCCCACGUACUCCGACGGGAGGUGGUUGCCGAUGGAGAAGCCGAACGCGGGGAUCCAGCGACGGGAGGUGGACACCGCGGCGCGGGAGUCGCCGACACGGGAGAGGAUGACGAUGAGGAGCUCGUCGGGGAGGGCGCAGAGCCAGUCAGCAUGGUCGCCGCAGCAGGACCCGUCGGAGAGGCGGCGCUGACCAGGGGAAAAAACACGCGCGGAGGGGGGCGGGGUGGGAUCGGGGAAGACCGGGGUGUCGCGAAUAUUUGCAGGACGAGAGCUGUUUUUUCGCGUCGAAUCUUAUAGGGAGUUUUAGUGGACUGUUGGAGUUCUUUUUUCUUUUUUUUUCUAAAAAAAGGUAUUGGGGGUAAGAUUAGCAGCUUUUUGGAGUUGCUCUAAUGCUACUAAUCUUACGUCCACGCGUCCAACUCCACACCACACAUAUAUCCUUUUAUCCUUCCGCUCAUUUUUCUAGACCGGCUUCUCCAUGUUUGAUCCUCCAUGCACAUCGCUUGCUUGCAGCCCAAGCUUUCCCUAUGUCGCGCCUCCCUAAUCGCUGCCGGUGCCGGCGCUCUCAGCUCCCUCCCCUAUGCUACCCCUACUUCCCCGCCGUCAUCCCUGCCCCAAAUCAUAGAAGAGGCCACCAGGUCCUGCUCCAAGGGGCGAGCUGUGCCGGCCAUCGGAGGAGCUACUCUGCCCGCAAUGGGCUUAGCCGUCGGAGGAGCUCCACGGGGAAGGGUGCUGAGCGCCGCUGCCUCGCGACCAUAGGUGAGCCGCGCCGGCCGCUGCCUUCCUCCUCCUCCACCACCAUUUCCUAGCAUCGGAUCCUGCUAUACAGUGCUCCUCCUACUAGGGUUUACUACAUGUUGCAAAAGUAUAUUUUAAGUGUUUCAGAUGUUUUAGAAGAAUGUUGCAAGUGUUUUAUGUGGAUGUUGCAAAGUACAUCUAGAUGUUGCGAUGUUGCAUAUGUUUCACACACAUGUUGCAAGUGUUUUAUCUGGAUGUUACAUUUUUAACGAGAUAUUUGAAUGUUCCAUGCAACACGAAACAGAUGUUGCGGCAAUUUUUUUCCUCAUCAUUAACAGAUGGCUAAUAAAUUUUUUCAACAUAUUUUUUGAUGUUGCAAAUGGUAAUUUUCUAUGUUGCAAACGUUUAUUUUUUAUGUUGAAGAUGUUAUUUUUUGAUGUUGUGAUGGACCAACGGACGUACAAGCGCCCACGCCCAUCUUAAAUAUAUGACGUGAUGGAGUAGCUUGUAGCUACUGUCAGUACGCAGCAUGAGGCCAUGAGCCGAGGCAUUCUUGCCGCCGAUGUGAGUAGUGAACACAGACGACCCUUAUUCCAGUAAAUUACCAAAGACAAGAGGCAUGAAGCCUGGUCAUAUGGAAGGACAUGCUAAUAAUAAGCUCUCUGAAAGAUCAUCAUCUGGUACGAUAACAUCACCGGAAUAUUGAGCUAUUUGACACAACGGAAGAAUGCAAAGGUCGAAUCCAAGAAGAAGAACGGACGAAAAAGAGAAGUGGCAUUCCACCUCCAUGAACCGGAGAUACCGCCAACCUUGUACAUACGGUGCACACACAAGAAUACAAGAUCUAACUCCGGUCAGCGAUAGGCCUUAGUCAGCGACCCACCUUUUAACCGCAGUUAGUUUCGCUUGCGUAAAGCUAAUCUCUAUCGGAGGUGAGAGGCAUGACAAAAGGCUCCCCGCUAAUUACUCGCUCGAUCCUGAUCCACUUCAGACGUGGGGCCCAAGAGCGGCGGGGUCCAAGUCAUGGCCAUCUUAUCCGGUACGUCCAGCCAGAUGCCACGUACUGGUCGUGCAGCACUAGCAUCUUCUUGUGCGUGCGCUCGGACCCACGGCGAUGAGCUGUCAGAUACUCAUCUACACUAAUCUACUCUGCUUAACCCACUGUUAAUCCCAUCCUCCAUGAUUAAUGCUCUCUUGGAUCUCUGGUUCUGCCCAAAGCAAUAGCCUGGCCGCGCUAAACUCAUCACGUACGGCUGUUCAAUCAGUACGCGACGGAGCCGCCGCCGCCAGCGACUCGCCGGCUGCCGCGCGCGGUGGCGGCACCUGCACCAUUGGCGCAGCAGCUGCUGCCGGCGUCCUCGUCCAUGAAGAUCUGCUGGCGCCGGCACUCCUCGCUGCAGAACGCCCGGUCGCCUCUGCAAUUGCAUGCACGCGCCACGAGUCAAACAUAUGUACAAAGAUUUUUUUUCCCGAAAGAUAAACACAUGUGCAAAUAUACUCCAUAUAUGAGCUAGCCAACCAGAAGAAUGAGCUCACAACCGCGGAUCAAUCUGGACGCCUUCUUCUCAGCGCAUCUUAUUAGCUUAUUACCUGUACAUGUAGAUGUCCCUGCCCUCGGCGAGCUCCCUGUGGCACAGGCAGCAGCGCUGCAGGAAGGAGCUCGCCGGCGGCGGCGGCGAGACGUGCUUUUGCUUGGGGCCGUGGAUCAAGAGGGUGGCCUUGCUGAUGAUCUGCGCCGGCGGCUUCUUCCCCGGGUGGUUCUUGUGGGUGGUCUCCAGUACUACACUCAGCCCGGCCAUGGUGCCAGAACGCAGAGAGUAUGUGGACUACCGUAGUGGAUGGAUUUUGGAUGCAGAAUCUGUUUUUUCCCCCCUUCAGUUUCACUUCCUCCUUUCCUUUGCUUGUGAGAGAUCUUUUGUCCUUCAUGGAAGGGGAGUUCACCCGGUGCUUAUAAAGGAGGAGGAAGGGGUGUGUGUGUGUGUGGUAGGGUGCGUCCAAGCAGCUGGUCAAGGAGGACGUGGAUUCCGAUUGGAGAGUGAGCUUGGCACUGUCAUCCUAACACGUCUGCCAGCUCACCUUGGAUUUGGUGACCAGACAGUUGAUUUCUGCUGAACCUUCUUCAGUUCAAAGGAGACCACUUGUACUAAUGUUGCGCAUUGUUUUACGUAUAACCGUGAACAAACUUUUCAAACAUACCAUGAUUCGGUACUAAUCAUAUUUAGGGCGUGGAGCAUUGUUACUUUCUUUUUCCCUUUGUAAGCCUAUCAUCCAUCAAGGGUGAAGCUAAGCUUCGAGAUUUCCGCUGACUGUGCAGCGUAGUUCAUUAACUUCACCAGGAUCAGUUUACACGCAAAACAAAAGUAUUCUUAAGAUCAUGUUUCCCUUUUUUUCUUCCGAAGGAGAGGCCAGGUUUGAAGGUGGACUUGACCAAAGUUAAAAAAGGGCACAUUUCAAUAAGAAUAAAAAGCAACAAAGCACAAAUAUAUGGAUAAUUUUAACAACUGUGCAAGUGCUCCACAUCUGGAUAAUGCUGGGUACACAACCAGCUAAUCGCAGUGGAGCUCCAUGGCUACACACUCAUACCGCCUCUCCUUCCAAGUUGUGAAGCGUUUGCACUGAUCGAUCCAUUCCAAAUUUCCAAUGCAUCAAUCAUCAGUGUGCAUGGGCCAUACUGCCAUAGACAUGGAGGGAGGCAGACUUGGAGCACCGAGCCACCGAGCAGCAACGGCAGAGGCUGCGGCGGCCUGUGGCGCUUGCCCUGCGCCGAGGCUGUGCGUCCGCUCUCAUCCCUCCACGUGUAGGCCACAGGACUCCGUUGUCGCUUGCGGCGUACGGAUCCACUGUGCCCGCAUGUGCUGCGGCCGGGCCUGCCCUCAACCGCUUGGUUCAAUGGCUCUACGCCUCUACGACGGCACGGGCCAGCCAUCAAACGACCGGGGCACCCACCUGUUCACCCGUAAUAGUUUUGAGUCCACCUUCACGAUUGUGGCACUAGAAAUGCAGUACACUAGUACUGCAAAUGUAGUGAGAGUUCCCGCGCCGCCCUGCACUUUGCUAGCUUUAGCCUCCAAUGUCGUGAGCUUGGCCGAAACAAAUAUCACAAUUGAAAGAAUGUGUAUGAAAAAUCUCUUUUUAGUAUUAUUUAAGGGACACCUUAACUGUACCUUUAAAGAGUCCAUGACACGUGAGAUCAGAUUCAUGAUGAAACUAGGAUCACAAGAUUAGAAAAGCCAACUAUACUAAUCCAUUCUCCUUCAUAAAAAGGCUAAAUAUAAAGGGUAAUUUUGCUCCUGGAUACUCUUCAAUGUUAGUUUUAGCUAGUACAUUACUCAAAUGCAUCUUCGCUAGUGGACACUCUUUAAUUGUGAUAAUUUGUUGAUAGACACCGGAUCAAUAAAAUAUUAUUUUUUAUGAGAAGAGAGAGAAAUAUGGUGAACGGACUAAAAUGUCCAUCAAUUAAGCGGGAACCACAUGUCAGAUUGGGUAGGGACUAGAAGGACGUGUUUUUGCUGGGCCAGGUACAUUGCCUUGCUCAACUCACCUCGCCGAGCAUGGAAUGGAUAGAUAACGUUUGGAAAGUUUGCGUCCCUUGUUGUGCUGUUCAUGUUUCCCUUUCCUUUGCUCUCCAAGAACAGCGGAGUGUCCGUUUCAAGGGAAAAAAAGAACAGAGUCUCCUUUCCUAUUUCCUCCCAAGAAUAGCAAGAAGAAGCGGAUCCAGAGCACGUUGCAGCCAAGAAAACAAGCCAGUUUCAAAAAAAAAAAUAGAAGAAAGCGAAAACCAGGUCGGGGUGGGGAGAGCCGAGCAAGAAAUCCCCCUCUUCAAUCUGACACAUGAGCCCACUCAAAUGAUGGGUACUUUAGUCCAUUCAUCAUAUUUCUCUCUCUUCUCAUGUAAAGAAUAAUAUUUUAUUAGUUGUGAUGCCCACGGGCAAAUUGUCACAAUUAAAAAGUGUCCACCAACAAAGAUGCAUUUGAGUGAUAUCCACCAGCAAAGACCAACAAUGAAGAGUGUCCAUGGGUAAAAUUACCCAAAUAUAAAUAUGGAUGUAGUAGAAAAAAUAAGCUGCGGGUAGGCCUGCUAGUGGGGCGGGUGAAAACGAUUUUUUUCGGGUAGGGUCCUGAGGUGGGUCUUGUGUAGACGGGUGAGAAUGAGUUUUUGAGACUAACUGGGCGGAGCGGAGAGGAUAAUACUAGAAGUGCGGGUUGGGGCGAGUUAGAAUGGGUCCACUUGACCUUACCUGGGUGGGUUCUCACGGUGGGUGUUCCGCCAGUCACGACUCGCGUCGCUCGUGCAAGAAAGGGAGAUAGGCGACGCUGCCGCUGCCGCCAGCCGCCGUCGCCCCGGCCACUCCCGCGCGUCCUCCUCCAACCACGACGACAGAUUGGCGGUACGCCUCCUCCUGUAGCUCUCCUCUCCUACCUCCUCCUCUGCAGCAUCCCUUUCCUCUUUUCCUCAUCCUCUUCCUUUCUUGGUAGGGUUUGAUUUGAUUGUCUAGCGUCUGCAGUGGCGGCCUCGAGUCCUACAUCCAGCGGGAGAAGCCGAGGAGGUGCUGUGUAUCACAAGUUAGAGUACAACGGCUGCCGUGAUUUGACUCCUACUAGAAGUGGUGCCGGGUGCUGGACUGAUGGCAGCCCAAGAGAUGCAGCUUGCCUAGGUGCGAUUGAUUUUUCUGAUUCAAUUUGAUUGACCCUCCUAAUCGAUUGUUAGUUUGCGACACGUGCUUGGAUUGAAGGCGAAGCAAUUAAACUCCAUUUGCUUCACAUCCGAUCUUUGGAUAUCAAACCAAAAGUUGGGAUAUAUUUGUUUGGUAGCACAUUUUAUUGACCCUGAUUUUAUUUUGAAGAUAAAAAUUAUUGCAUUCAAGGAUGUUAAGUAUCCACAUAAUGGUCUAGCUAUUGAGGAAGCCAUUACAAGAUGUCUAACAGAUUAUGGAAUCAAAGAGAAGAUGUUUACGAUCACACAUGACAAUGCGGCAAAUAACAAGGCAACUUGUGAUCUUCUCCAAGAAAGUGGAAAGCGUGAUAUGUUAUUUGAUGGUGAGCAUCUUCUUGUUAGAUGUUGUGCUCAUAUACUCAACAUUCUUGUGCAAGAUAGUAUAGGCAUUGCUGAUGCUGCAAUAGAAUCGAUAAGAGACCUGGUUAGGUAUGUUAAUUCGUCAGCAUUGCGAAUCCAGGCUUUCAAUGAGAUUUGUGAAAGGGAAUGUCUUCCUGCAAAGGUUGGUUUAGUGCUUGAUGUUCCAAACUGGUGGAACUCAACACAUGCCAUGAUUCUUGAGGCAGUUGUAACACCCGAGUUAGGGUUAAACAACUUCACUUAAGCAAAAUGAGCACCAUGGCAUUGCAUCAAUUUCUUUUCUUGUUAAGAAAAUGGGGUUUUCAAAUUUUUGUUGGUUGUUCUCCCAACUUAAGUUUUGAUUCUGAGGUUUUUCCAAAUUCAUGACCCCUCCUAUCAUCCUCCCUUCUUUCUGUCUUCUUUGGAAUCCUUUGUUCGGGCCGAUGGGUUCCACCCGAUGGACGCCGCGUCGUGCAUCAUUCCGUCCAGCGCCAAAAGUCAGCGCUCACAUGACUGAAAUCGCACGCCGUUCCACCUCGUCCCAUCGCCAACCACUCCAUCACCCACACCUCUGCGCGCUACUGCUCAUCCACUGUAGCGUUGACCCCGCCCCGCACGUGCCUGACACCACCGCGGACUGCCAGAACAAACGGGUAACCAUUCCAUGUAAAUAGCUCCCGCCCGAGCAGGCCUUGCUCUUCCGCUCCCUUUCACCUCUCCACUCUUCCUCGGCCAAGAGCUAGAAAAAGCAAGCCAAACGAACUCUUCUUCCACCACCUACGCUCAAAAGCUCUGUCCAAACUUCCGAUUCACCGUCGCCCCCACCUCGCCGACACUCCCAGUUAGUCUGCAACCUCACCGGCCGCUGCCAGAGUUUCUGGAGCCAAGAAGAGAAGUGUUGACGGUUCCAUCACCCUUGUGUUCCACCCUUUCCAGCCCCUUCUUCUCCAAAACAGAGUUUUUGGGUAAGUUCUCAUCGAGGCGUUGCGUUUUCUGAUUUUUUUUCAGGUAGUCGAGAGUCCCACGACGGCGCCUGUGUGCAAGCACCACCGGACGUGUGUACUCCGAGUAGUUUCGGAGCCACGAGUAGUUGGAGGAGUGUAUCUGAGUUAUUUCAAGGCUGCUUGUAGUCGGUUGGGUACCAACCGAGUUGUUUUCUGAGGGCCGUGAGUAGUCUAAGGUCGUGCUAGAUUAUAGAGAAGGUAGCCAAAGUAGUCAUCCGAGUAAUCAAAGGACCCUUCUACCGUUUGUUCAAGGGUAAUCAGUAGGCAGUUGAGUUGCGUAGAGUCUUAGUGUUUCCGUGGUUUCUAAUCCGGUAUUUUGGGUUGUUUCACUUUUCAAAUCGCAUGAUGUGCAUGUAUCUUAUGUUUCCUUCAACUCAUAAAUAUGCAUUGUUGUGUAGAAUCCGCUAGUGGACAGUCUCUACGAGUUGGUGGCCAUGUCCGAGAGUAAACAGCUCAAAGCCUCUUCAGUGGAAGCGCCGCAAGGAUUGCACUAAAGUACGGAAGAGCCCAAGGUUGAUUCCGAAGGCAAGUCCCGGAGCAUAACUCCUAAUUUCAAAACUACCAUGUCUUAUGUGUACUAAUUUUUACUGCAUUAAGUUUUAGGAGUUGAAUGAAACCUUAGUUCCAUGAUCCCUAGGAUUCCCAGGCUCAAAUACUAGUAUGUGCAGGACGAGUAGUGCCAUGCUUAAUCAGGAGCAAUAAAAGUCAAGUGAUCUCUUGUCACUCGCGAGACAUAGGACCUCUCGAUUCAGGGAAAAACUACUCCAAACUGGAAUUGAAAUAUGGAAGAACUGGAGACCGGGCGGAGGCAGAAAGAAAAGAAAGUCUGGAAUGUUGGUUACACUCCGCCCGUGUCGAUUAAGGCCCGUUCGUUGUGGCCGUGCUGAUCAAGUUUGAACUAUACUAUGCACCUGCUGGAAGUAAUAGGUAGUUGAAACUGGUAAAGCCUAGUACCUUAUUGCGCGAUAGUAGUUUGAGUUCGUCUUGAUCCCUAUUCGUGUACUGGUCUGUAACUCAUGGCAGGCUCUAGGAGGUGGGGAAUAGUACUUGAGGGGCGCAGGGGUUCUCAAAUGCCCUCGUUCUUUAAGGGAACCGUUUGUCAUAUGUUGCUCGAUGGGGGCAGAUCAUAUACUGGGUGUAUAGGUCCACCUUGCAAGGUUAUAAAUCGAAUUGAUUCACCGCCGCUCUCGAUUAAGAGAACCUUGAUCUCUUCAUCACAUCGUAGCAAGAAGUGGAAACAUGCUUUGUUAAGCUAUUAUCUUGCUACUUGUUACCUUACCUUGAAAAAGUUUUGCAAAGUUGCUCACCUAACAGUAAUCUAGUUCAAUUGUAAAUGGAGGUUAAAAGUUGAAAGUAAGGAUCCACCCUUACUUGCUUUUGUUGGCAAAAUAAGCCCCUUGGCCCAAAAGCCUUGCAUACUAGAAGUCGGCUAAGUAUAGUCCAUGGUCGGUUAAGUCUUGCUGAGUAUUAGUAUACUUAGCCUUACUUUAUUGAUGAUUUUUAGGGCUUAGUGCUGACUGGUUUGAGCUAGUUGCUGGUCAACCCUGGGACGGCCGUCCUCUACCCGAGGGGUGGUCAGUCGAGUGGUCUCCAGACUCGGCGUAAGAGUGCUUGGGUGAAGGAGUACUCGGACAGAUGACAUGUGGAUGAGCUACCCAUGUCACCAUGUACCUGUUGUCAUCGUAUCGCUUAGACUUCCGCUGUAGCUAUUUUAUUUCCAACUCUGAUUUGUAAUUCGCUGCAAACUUGAAACUUGUUCCAAAACUUGUGUGUACUUAUUUGGUACUUGGUUAAUGAGUACUCUAUUUUGUUAUCAAAUGUUCUAUUGUAUCAUCUGCCCUCACCGUUGCGUGAGCUCUGUGCAUAUGGGUUCGAUCGAAGGGAUCAGUGGUAGAAUCGGGCUUGACCCAACGGACUGUCAGAUUACACCAUUUUAAGUGCACGUUGACUUGACUAGUUGUUUCAAGGAUGGUUAAGUGCACUUAAGCCGGUUUAAUUUAGGCGGUUCCACAACAGCAGUGGAAUACAAGAUUGUACUGAAGCGAUACGCAAAAUUGCAACAGCAACCCAUUCCAACUGAUGAUGAAUGGAGUGGGGCUAAGUCUAUUUGUGAAUUCCUUGCAGGUUUUUGAAGAAGCUACAUUGGCAUUCUUGGCCGAUAGAUUUCCUACAUCACAUCUGUUUCUUGACAAUGUGCUGUUAGUACAUCAAGCUCUAAGAAGUCACGGAUGGAAAGAUGAUCAGGUUAUAAAAGUCUUGGCUAGAGCAAUGGACAAGAAGUUCGCUAAGUAUUGGGAUCAGAAUUACAACAUGUUGCUUGUCAUUGCUACCAUUCUUAUUCCAAGAUAGAAAUUUGAUUUCCUGGACUUCUUCUAUGAGAAGGUUUGUGAGAAUUUAAUUGAUGUUGACUUGAGCAAAGAUUUGGCUAAAUAAUGGCUGCACAAAUAUUACAUAAAGUAUGAAGACAUUGUUAGAAUUGAUACAAAUGCAUAUCUCAAGCUAGUGUGUCUAGGAGCGUGGUGAACUGCUCACCAGUGGUACUGCUUGGCAAGAGAAGACUGGAACAAGAAUUUACUCAAUUUAGCUCUCAGAGGAGAGGGACUCGAACUGAAAGAUCAUAUGCAUGAAGAAUUAGUGAGAGAAGAUGAAAACUUUGAAAUUUUAACAUGGUGGAAGACAAACUCGAACCAGUACCCCGUGUUGUCAGCUAUGGCACGCGAUUUCUUAGCAAUUCCAUUGAGCAUUGUUUCUUCUGAAUCCGCAUUCAGCCUGGGCGGUCGAAUUCUUAGUGACAAUCGAAGCACCAUGAUGCCACAAACUCUUGAAGCUCUGGUUCGCGGCAAAGACUGGUUAUAUAGAUAUCCAUCCAAUGAAGGAUGAUGAGUACUGCAGGUGGUUAACAUAGCUUCUGAAGUGUUGGUACUCGCAGAUUGGAUAAUGAUGCCUUUUUCUGGCAAAAAGGAGGCGAGGAAGAUUGCUUAUGAGGCAAAAGCUUUUUGAAUUUUAAGGAUACAUUGAAGUAUGUGACAUAGAUUGUAAUUUUGCUCUAUUGAACUGCAGCACCAGUCCAGUCGAAGAGGUGCAUGUGGGGGCAUGCUCAGCUCCCACGGGGGCAGUGACCAGUGGGGCAUGCGGCCUGCCCAUGCGGGUUGCCAUGGGUUAACCAAUUUAGGUGGGACGGGACGAGUAGGGUUGAUUAAUUAACUUGUGGGUAGGGUUGGGUUUGCAGCGUUAGUUAGCUAGCUAUGGGUAGGGUUAAGUUAGGGGCGGGUUGGCCCCCGUUAGCAGGCCUAGCUGCGGGGAUCUAUCGUUCCAUUGCUACGUCCCUAUCAAGUCCUACCUAUCAGCAAGACAAGUUGACAACAGAGAUGAAAGUGCAAGUUAAAUAGUGCUAUUGAUACUCUUAUGAUGGAUAUAUGCGCUAACUGGCAUAGAAGUUGAGUGACUCUUUCUAGUCUCACAAUUUCCUCUCUUUCUUAUCUACUUUCAGUCUCAUCCAGUGGCGGACCCAGAAACGUCCAGAAUCGUACCUAGGGAGGUUGAGGUUGAAUGCAUCAGCACGAGGCACCUUGCCAGAAUGGAGGGUCAAGGGCAACGGCCCUAGAUGCUGGACCGGCCCGCUGAGGCACUGACCAUGCAUCAACGCCUGUCCCAGCAGGCCAUUGCCGCACCUGAAGCAAUGCACGAAUGCUGGAGCCUGGGCCCAGGCCGCUAGGGGCACCGCCACACCGACCGUCGCUCCUGCCUGUGGCGGCCCGGGGUCUCCAAUGCCUCGAUUGCCAAUGGGGAUGCCGGCUAUUCUGUUUGGCUAGCUGCUUUGCAGCUGCUGCUACUCAGCAGAGAGCAAGCAGCUGCAGUAGCACGCACCAGCAGGCAGCGGCAGCAGUAGCCAUGCACCAGCCGAACAGCGUUGAAAUGAAAAAAAAAAAAGAUGUGUCGAAACCGAGUAGCGAUGAGGCAGGUAGCUUUGUAGCUACGACGAUGUGUGCUUCUGCUAGUUGGGGCUGGAUCUUAAACCAUGGACUGCUAAUAGUAUGGUUUUACAUAAGGGUACUUGGGGUUCUUUGAGCUGGACAAGGGCUGCUUCCCCAGCUCGGGUCCUAGUCCGCUCCUGGUCUCGUCAUAUAAAAGUAACAAAAUUUAAGGUUAAAAGAAUUCCUUAUAAAGAUUGCACUCUAUAAUGAUCUCGAUGUAAUCGGGUAUCAACCUACAAAUUUAAACAGGAACUUUAAAUGUACCCUAACAUAUUUUGGCACACAAAUUCGCCGUAGAGACAAGUAAGAAAAAGACGGGAUUGGUACGGGGCAGGACAAGAAGCACAGACAGGACUACGGGGUUUGGCAGGCGCAGGAGAAAAGUGGUCUGGCGAUGCAGCUGCAAAAGCUAGUGGUAGUGGCCUCCAGCUAGCUGAAAGCGAAGGAGCGCACGGGUACGGCAGCCUCGUCGUUUGAUGCGCCGCGAGCUUACUGUUCCGACGUGGCGCUAUUAUCCGGAUUCCCCGACGGCCUCCAUUGGUAGGGCUGGCUCUGUUGGCACCAGCAGCAGAUGCAAGAUGCAGCUGGAUUCGAACGGGUUCAGCUCAUCUAGAGUUUGGAGAGCAAUGGCAUGAACUUGGUUGUUAGUUGUCACGGCAGCAAAUUAGAUGGAGGAUCCGAUCACAAUCCAAGGUGUUCGGUUGGACUUAUAAGUCGGCUGAAAAGUUGAAACGGCUGAUUUGUUAGGAGAGAAAAAUAUUAUUCGAUGACUGAUAAACCGGCUGAUAAGCUGAAGCGAACAGAUUGUGCCAAACUAUUUCCUCCUACCCCUCAACCCACCUGUCAGGUUGAGGUGUCAGGUUGAGGGUACAAGGUUUUGACAAAAGGUGAAAAUAACAUUUUAGAAAAUGGUUCUGUCUUUUCGCCGUCAUUUUUUUCACCACGGAAAAAACAUACCCGCCCGUGUAGCGAUUUUCACCUUCCAGAAACCCCGAAGCCUUCCUUUUUAUUGCUUUCCUUCUGUCGCUGGCAUCCCGUCGUGCUUUCCUUCUGUCACUGGCAUCCCGUCGUGCGCCGUCACGCCCUCAGGCCUGCCCUCCACCCGACGUAUGUUUCAGGGUCAAGGUCGGGGGUGCAAGAACAGAUUGGCGGUGAGCGCCCAGCCCAACGUCACUCGAGCGUCAAGAUCCCCACACCGACUCCUACGACGACGACGAUUAUAGCAGAACCUGGCGGAGCGAUAGGCAAGCAAGAACAUAUCGCUGUCCAUCUCCUCUUUCAUUUUUUCCUAUUUCCAACGAUCAUCUAUUCAUCAUUGUUCCGGCGGAGGUAGAAAAGAGGUGGUUUUGCUGUUUACGGUUUGCAUACGUGGUCCUCGCCGGCGGCCGGCGGGCAGCGGGUCGACGAUGAAGGUGGGGAUCUUGUCCAUGAGCCCGUCGGACUUUUCCGAGAUGCAGUACGCACGUGGCCUCGCCACCGGGGCGCGCGGCGCGCCUGCAUCCGCUUGUACCAGUGGUACAUGACCCAGCACUGUGCCACCAGCUGUAGGCCGCGUCGGUGGCCGUAAGCGCCAUGUGGAAUGGCCACGCCGACCCUCGCCGCGCGCCGCCUCGCAUCCAUGCUGACAUCACCACCACCGGAUCCCUCGCCCCCGGCCACGCCGGAGCCGCCGCCACCGCGGAGCAAUGAUGAAGAGAUCGCCGCCUUCCUCCGCUGCCAUGACAUCGUGGGAUGCUGCUUCGCUGCCGUCUCGCCGCUGCUGCAAGCUGCCGAGGCUAAAAACGGGUCUCCAAAGGCUCCGUUAUUUUACUUAUGCAUGAUACGUUUUCGAUACACAUCCCCGUGUGCUGCCAAUACUCAUUUUGCUUUUAAAUCUAUGUGGCUCUCUUAAUUUAUGUGCAACGUCCAAAGUGUGUCGAAAUUCAUGAUGUUUCUCAUUUGGCCUGAUGCAUUGCCAUCAAUCUAACUAUGCUUCACUGGUUUCUUGGGUCUUAGGUGUAGAUUUUUAAGCUAAGUCUGGUUCGUGUUAACCUAUCUUGAUUUUCAAUUAGUUAAAUAUAUAUUUUAGCAGUACUCUACUAUGCUUUGGUGCACGUGUAUAUGACUAUAUGAGGUUCUUGAUUUUGGUCCAAUGAACUUUGCAGACACUUGAUUACCUGAGCGGUUAGUAGAAAGAGCUAUUUCAUGGUUGUCAGGUAAUCGCAUACCAUUAUAAACAUUAAAAUGGAUUGUUUUAACCAUACACAUACACGUGUGAACUGACUUCGUUUAUCAUAUUGGUCUUUAUAAUAUUAGAAAUAGAAUACCACAAAGGUGAUAAUUGUUUCCUACCGAUGGACCAUCGUUUUCCACUUGGUGAUGAGACAAACAUAACAACCUCCAAUUCUCGACGUAUUCGUAAAAGAUCAAGACCAGAGUUUGGUCGACCUGGUUUGUUAGUAGAAGAAACAGCUGCUAGCAUGUUAUACUUAUAUGUUUUUUUUUAUCCAUAUUACUUGGUUUGGUUUUGCCUGGUCUUCGUUAGUUUUGACCAUGGUAUUUUAAAGUUGCAGGUGGUGAAGAAAUUGAAAAUGUUGAUGCAGCAAUAGCAGAACAUAAAAGGAAAGAAAGAAGGGAUAAUUAUGCCAAUUUGCUGGAGGAGGAAAAGGAGAGGAGGCGUGCAAAGGCCAGCGAAAAUUAUCAUCGUAAUAAGACCGAGGGCAAAACAAGCACUACGCCGCAACACUUAACAGGCACAACUUACACAGAAUUAGGUCAAUGUCAUGGACAUCACAGCUUUCAAGUGCCUAGACUGUUAUCACCGGGUUACCACCAUGUUUGCCUGGUAGAGGUAUUAUAUUUUUAGAACAUGGAAUUUCAAAAUGCUUUCAAAUUGCUAUGAACAUGAUUUUUUGAGAAUAAUUAUAUGCACAUAAUUAUUUAAAAAGCAUGGUCCAAAGGAUGAUGGCGACAACUGGCUACAUGGAAAUGAUACUUGCCCAAGGCUAAAUAUGUCAGACUCUAUACAUGCAUGGGUUGGGUUUAAUCAAUGCUUAAUUGGAAAUUCACCUCUGCCACUAUCAUUAGCAGGUUACUAUCUAAAUUAUGCCUUUCGUAAAUGGAUUUCAUUGCCUAGAUGCAAGUUAUGGAUGUAAUUACAUACCAAGGGAUGUUUAUUUUGAUGAAGAAUUUUUACUCUUUGCUAUCAUGCAUUCAAAUGAAUGGCGGAUCCAAUCUCAAUUUUUAUUUUCCUUUCCAAUCUCUUGAGUUAGCAUUACAUUAGUCACGUGGGACAAAUUUUUAUUUAUUUUAUUUGACUAAUGUAUGGAUGAAAAUAUUCAUAGUAUGUUCGUGCACUUUACUAGUUAUACAUAAAACAUUGAUGUGCUUGUGCCAGGCACGGAAAACAAACACACAAUGACGGCAUACACGCACUCGAUUUCAUUUCCUCUUUCUUUUCACAUUUCGUUGGCAUUUUUGCCCCCAACAGCACCCUUAGAAGGUUUCACCAGGCAAGCAGAGGAAGUACCCAGCACGGUAAUUUCAACAUGACAGCAUCAUGAGUUCAUGACCCAAGCUACAAAUCUACUUGUUACAUCACACAACGGUUCGACACGGUAUACCGAGAAACCAAGUACACCCUGAAGAUCGUUCCCUUCAGAUUCCAGAUAUGUCCAGUGGGAAGAGAAGAGUGCCAGAAUUAUGGCCUCUUUGCCAAACUUGAGAAAUCAAAAAAGAAAAUGAAAAAACAAUGCACAGUUUCCUUCAUUCCCAAAGACCAGCACAUCUUGUCGCAAAGAUAUUAAUUGGCACAUAAACAGUCCAGACAUGUUUCUCAGCUUUUCUCACAGAAAUCUUCCUGGUGACCAUCAUUCUUCCAUUCAGUUUCAUCGUCCCCUUCUCCCCUGACAUCAUUCUCAGCAUCGCUUUCACUAGCUGUUUCCCACUCAGAGUCAUCAGCCUCUUGACCAAACGCAUCGCUAGCAUCUCCUUCACAAUGGACACCCCCAUGCUUCAGAGAUGCUUCCCUGAAUAGCCAAGCGGCACGCAUCUGCUUCUUCACCAAUCGCUCAGCGUAAUCAGGAACUUUGUUUUGCUUCAGGGAUAAGUCAGGAUCGUUUGACUGAGAGCACUCGUUUAUGAAAAGGAUUGCAUCCAACAAGCUCUCCUUUGCAAAACCAAGCAUAUCAUACGCUUGAGCUCUUCUCCACAAACUCUUGGCAUGACGAUUCACAGGGCUAUGAAGGCACAAUGCUCGAGUAGCAUCGCUUAUGGCGGCCAAUGGCUGCUGCAGGAGAAGGUAACACUGAGCUCGAUUGCUGUAAAGCACCACCCGCUCUUUCUUAGACUUCAUUGGACAUAGUGCAAGUGCUUCAGAGUAUUUCUCUGCAGCUCCUGCAAUAUUCCCUGAAGAGAACAGAGAAUUGCCUUCCAACUUCACAACCAAUGCUGCAGCUUGUUUUAUAUGAAGAUCCUCCCUCGGCAUACUCUUUUCCAAUUUCAAACUUUGCUUGGAUCUCAAGAGCUCGUCAAUUUCUGAUUUGGUCUGAGUGCGAAUUGUACUGCGUGAGUUCCCACUCUGUUGCAUACAUUCUUGGAGGACUGUGACAAUUGUGUCACCAAGCCUUUUAUAAUCACCAAGUGUCGAAAUAUUUGUUAAAUCUAUCAAUGUUGGUGCAACUUUAUCUAUAACCUGCACAAAGAGAAGAAAAUUAAGUGACCACAGCUAACAAAACUACAGUUAACAGCUAGUUGCUGUCUGCAUUCAAGACCAAAUUAGAAGAAAAAAAGCAUAAAUACAUUUUUUAGCACAAUGCGCUUUCAGCAAAUCAUCAUGCAUAAUAAUCCUGAACCAUCUAACCAGAAAGAGGAAUAACAAUCCAAGCUGGUUUUUAAAAGAUUGUAUAGAUACUCUUAUUUCCUCUUUAUGAGGAACUCUGCUAUUUCUAUUUGUCUCUAGUCAUCAUUUCUAAGCCGCUGUGCAUAGUUGUCAUCUUAGGCCUUAAACAUAACCUGUACAUAUUAACCUACAUAAAGGGAAUAUACUAUGACAGUAUGACUAAGCAAAAUGUAUUUCACAAGAUCUUACCAUAUGACAAGUAUUUGCAUCCUGCACUAGCCAAAUCAGACAAUCAACUGCCAUGUAUUGCCAGUCAUCUGAAGAACGAGCAAUGUUGCAUAAAGCAUCGAUGGUACCAGGAAUGUUAGCAACAUGACCUCGACCAACCUUGUUCUGGCAUAUUGUUCUUAGCAAACCAACACCAGCAGGUGAGUUUUCAUUCACAAGUCCACCCCACAUUCCAGGUAACUUGUUAAGAAAAUCAGCCUUGCAAAUAUCAUGGAGGAAUUCAGGUUUAAAUGCAAAGCAAUUAAUGAGUUGCAAAGACCAGCACUGCAGUUGACUUGCCCAUUCCUCAGCUUUGCGGGAUUCCAUUUCCACACCACCCAUGCCACGAGUAAGAAGAUCGCAAUGAUAGCCAAGUCUUCGAUCCACAAAUUGGUAAAAGUGAGAGUACACAAUCUCUAAGGAGCUCGAAGCAAGUUGAAUGGCAAGUUCAAGCACUUCUCCAUGCUCAGCAACCGCGGGAAAUGUACUAGGAUAUGUAGCCAAAUGCCCCAAAGCUCUAACAGCAACCCGUUGCUCCACCCAAGUCAGCCUACCUCUUAGAAGUUCAACUAAUGGAGGUAUUACACCGGCACGAACAGCACGUUCUGCAAAUUCCUCCACAUUCAUCGUAUAGGAUCCAAUUAUGUGAGCUGCAUAAUAUGGGAUGUAAAUAUUCUGAUCAUGUGCAAGCCAGCGCCUGUUUUUCAACCCUUUCCAUAUAAGAGCUGCCAUGCAUUCAAAUAUGCCCAAGUUGAUGAACUCAGGAUCAUUUGGGUGAGCCAUUGCAGUGUUCCAGAGGCCGCUAAUAGGGAGAACUUGACCAUCAUCAUCUUGAGAAGGAAGUUCCCUAAAAAACUUAAGCACACUUGCUCUUCGUUUACUAGGGUUUGCCUCCUUCAUAACACAGAAGAAACAUCCAGGAUAAGGGCAAUCAGAUUGUAUCUUGUCCAUUAUGAGAGCCAAUUGAUCCUAUCAGCUUCCUUAAUCAGAACAUCAACAACCGUACUUCAAACUGCAUCAGAACAAAUUAUGAGCAGAUGUUAACAAUAUUCUCCAAUGAGCAAAGUGAAGGGCGACCGGGCACAUUAUCAAUGUAAGAAAGUAAUUUAACAAUCGGCAAACAGCUAUUAAAUUUUGAUAACACAUCUUCUUCCCCCUAAUGUUCUGAUAACUUGGGAAUGUCAGACUAUUGAAAUCUGGUGGGUACAUAGCCAGCUCUGGCAACCAAUGGGAAUGGGAUUGGGAGCAAGACAAGCAACUUCAGCAAAAUCAAGCAAGACACGCUGAGGAACAAGCAGUAGAGACUUCAAUGACUCAAUGCCCAUGACAAACUACGGAAAAGUGAAUGAUCGAGUCUAACUUGUGCCUAGUGCAGCUACUGUACAAACAAUGGUUGUCUGGUUCAAGUUCUUAAAGAAGUAAGAAUUUUUAACAACUAAACCAUGAGUAAAUGCAUUUAUAGAACUGACUUAACCUCAACAAAAUCAUAUCAAUUCAAUAGGUCUUAUUGAUUUCAGGAACAUGAAAACUGGGAAGUGAAUCACCACUCAAUAAAGACAUACACCGACUGAAAACAACUGAAGUUUCUACUAGAAGGCACAUAACUCACUGCUUUGUUGGAUUACAGAAAUAGUUUCGAAGUUCACCAAUCAGCUGUCUUGCUACUCUUUUCUAGCCUAAUUUGCUUGAGUGGAUCUCGGUUUUGUUCCCUGGGGUUGAUACAGAAGUCUCCUUCGCACGAAUUAACUCACAGAGUGUCACCAGCAGAAAUCUUAAUUGAUUGACUCCCAUACCCCCAAAACUUCUCAUUAUCCUUCCCCCAUUUCAAAUUGCAUCUAGGAUAGACAGAGUACCAAUUGAACAGUGAGCUUUCAGCUCACAUUUUGAGCUUACAUCCGGAAAUUUGAACUCGCAACUCAAUUUUUUUCAAAAAAUCGCGACGAGAGGCUCGACUCGAACUCCCAGCUACGAGCACGAGCUCCGAAUUGGUUACCACGAGAGCUUGCAGCAGGAGAUUUAAAAAAAUCUGGGCCGUAAUUCGAACCUCAACUCCCAAUCUGAGCUCUCCGCACCUCAAUAUGGCCUGAAUUACUCUGGUUAUAGAAAUGGCACCUUACCAGCACACUCCAACGUGGUGGGCCGCCGUCGGACGGCAAUGGCGGCCGCCGGCUCGCGCAGCCCCCGCUCGGCUCGGCUCGGCUCGGCGCGGCGCGGGGUGGUGCUGGUGCUGCCGGGGCAGCGAGGCGGCCGAGCUAGGUAGGGUUCGGGGAGGGGCGGAGGGGCGGCGGGCCGUGGGAGUGGCCGAGUGGGGGAGAGCCGGAGAGGGGAUUGGGGCGGACCGGCGGAUCUCCUCCUCUACGAGAGACCACGGCAGCGGCGGCGAGGAGGGCGUGCGUGCAUGCGGGUGAGCGGGGCGGAAUGGGGAGGACGGGGGGCGUGACGCGCGAGGCCUUGAGCGCGACGGGCGGACGGGACGGGCCGUGCGGUGCGGGUGGAGUCAGACUCGAUGUUGCGGCCCCGCCCCGCGGAGGUGGGGCUCCCGAGCUCCCAUCCCGCGUGCGUGCGCCCAUCGACGGCCGCGAUAGGGUUCGCGCCCGCGGGCCACCACACGCCGUGCCCGGCGCGGUGGUCGACGCGUCCGUCCGUCCGGCCACGUGACGUGCCAGCUCCGUGCACCGUGCUAGGCGCGCGACGGGCGGGGCCUCGCCACCCAACCACCGGUGCGGUCCUUUAUCCAAAAAAAAAAAAAAACCACCGGUGCGGGGUGUCCCUCAUGGGUGGCUCAGGGUCCCCUCCCCCAGGUCCCGCCCC
This 60517-nucleotide long non-coding RNA is filed under the name Setaria italica (foxtail millet). RNAcentral describes it as "long non-coding RNA (SITA_LNC000528)". The stretch from base 41067 to 41263 matches the Rfam family "U2 spliceosomal RNA". Lineage: Eukaryota; Viridiplantae; Streptophyta; Magnoliopsida; Poales; Poaceae. The record is from RNAcentral.